UUUUUUUUUUUGGUAGGUCACGGGGAGAAAAGCUCUCCCCACAAUUUAUUAAGAAACUAAAAAACAAAAAUCAAAUUCGGAUAUGCUUUGGAAACGCAGUUUCUCAGUCAUCAUCCUCUACAAAUGACGCCACAAAGGGUGGAGCAACAUCUAACAAAUGAAACCAUAAAGGGAAAGAAAAUGCAUAGUUCGCUAACCCGUCCGCAAGACGGUUAGCUUCUCUAUAAACAUGAGUAACAUGGACUAACCAGUCUCUUGAUAAGAAGCCAUGGCACAAUCGCACCAGGAACGAUAAAGGAUGAGUAUCACUAAUCCCCCUCGUUAAAAAACCCACCACCAACUCUGAAUCAACCUCCAACUCCACUCGCCUAAACCGCCUCUCCCAAGCAAUAUAAAGCCCGUAACAGACACCAAUAUUCAAGGCGAACCCACCGCACCAACGACCUUGACCAUCACGCACAACUCCUCCUACUGUAGCCAAUCCCGGAUUUCCCCGUGAAGCGCCAUCAGUGUUAAGCUUCAUCCAAUCUUCUUUCGGUCAUUUCCAGGCCACCAUUCUCUCCAUUUGAGUAUUCGAUCUGCCCGUAUAGCGAUUCAGUUUGUGAGCUUGACUUACUUGAGAAGCGAAGUCCUUAACAAACUGAACUCUAUCUCUACAUUUACCAAUCUCGCCAAAAACGUAGCCACACCGCCACUUCCAACUCCACCAAACCACAAUGGAGAACAAGGUUGCCCAUGAAUACCCGACCUCAUCAUUCACCAUUCCCAGAUUCAAAUAUAACCAACCAAGAAGAGACCCAUUGAAAAAAUCAUGUCUCCUGCGAACCGGCACUAACCUUCUCCAAUGCAAGACUCGGGGUGAGUCUCACACGGGGAUAGAUAUGGUGGCUUCACAAGCUGGCGAUCGCUUCUCUCUUGUGAAGGAAAGAUGGUCGAAGGUGGAAAUCUGACACGCUAGCGGUCGCUUCUCUCGUGUGAGAUCAAAUCAGGGUUUUGAUGGUGGAUUGAUGAUCGCCACUCAAAAGUGUGAAAGCCUUUGUGAUAAGAUCACGAACCUUUGUCUCAAGGAAUCCACACAAGAGACAUUGAUUCACACGUUUACUAAGUAAAGGAAUCUACCUAACUUAAAUAAACAAAAACAAAGCCUAAGCUUUAGAGAAAACUCUUUCUAUUACUUUCAAAUUUCGUGGUCCUUUACAAUGAAACAAAUGAGCUUUUUAUAGCUCUUACAUGACUAAGCUACAUUAAAAGAAAAUAUUCUAAGUUAAAUACAAAUCAAUCGAUAUAAUAGAGAAAGCGUGAUUGGUGGUGACGAUGAGGAACAAAUCGUGGGCAUUGAUGGAGCUUUAUCUCUAGAUGCAUUCUCUGGAUUAAAUGGUGGAUCAAGGAUUUCGAGCAAGCAAUACUCCUUAGCAAUUAAUGCUAAUUUAAUUACGUCGAAUAACGAAAGUUUAUUUCCUUUGAAUUUCUCUUUGAUUCCUUUUGAUAUUCCGGCCAAAGAUGUUUUGCAAGCUUCUUCUUCAUUUGGAGGGUUUGAAAUCUCCAACAUAAACGAUCCAAGGUUGAUGGAUGAUUCACUUUCCUUGCUUGGUUCGACGUGUAGUAGUUCAGGAAGUCCUUCAGCAAGUCUUUCAGGAAGUUCGUCAGAAAGUCCAUCAAUCAGUACAUCAGCAAAUGUGAUGUCCGCAUCAUACUCUCCUUCUUGAGAAAGUUUUGUCCUCAAAACUAAUUUCAUUUUUUUUUUUUUUUUUAAAUCACAGAACAAGAAAAAAAAAAUUUAAUCGAAGAAAACAAAACAGAAGCAAAAACGAUUGAUGAUAUAGGAGCUUUGAGCUCUGAUACCAAAUGAUGCAAGACUCGGGGGUGAGUCUCACACGGGGAUAGAUAUGGCGGCUUCACAAGCUGGCGAUCGCUUCUCUUUUGUGAAGGAAAGAUGGUCGAAGGUGGAAAUCUGACACGCUGGCGGUCGCUUCUCUCGUGUGAGAUCAAAUGAGGGUUUUGAUGGUGGAUUGAUGAUCGCCACUCAAAAGUGUGAAAGCCUUUGUGAUAAGAUCACGAACCUUUGUCUCAAGGAAUCCACACAAGAGACAUUGAUUCACACGUUUACUAAGUAAAGGAAUCUACCUAACUUAGAUAAACAAAAACAAAGCCUAAGCUUUAGAGAAAACUCUUUCUAUUACUUUCAAAUUUUCGAGGUCCUUUACAAUGAAACAAAUGAGCUUUUUAUAACUCUUACAUGACUAAGCUACAUUAAAAGAAAAUAUUCUACAAAUUACAUACAAAUCAAUCGAUAUAAUAGAGAAAGCGUGAUUGGUGGUGAUGAUGAGGUACAAAUCGUGGGCAUUGAUGGAGCUUUAUGUCUAGAUGCAUUCUCUGGAUUAAAUGGUGGAUCAAGGAUUUCGAGCAAGCAAUCCUCCUUAGCAAUCAAUGCUAAUUUAAUUACGUCGAAUAAGGAAAGUUUAUUUCCUUUGAAUUUCUCUUUGAUUCCUUUUGAUAUUUCGGCCAAAGAUGUUUUGCAAGCUUCUUCUUCAUUUGGAGGGUUUGAAAUCUCCAACAUAAACGAUCCAAGGUUGAUGGAUGAUUCACUUUCCUUGCUUGGUUCGACACGUAGUAGUUCAGGAAGUCCUUCGUUCAGCAAGUUCUUCAGGAAGUUCGUCAGAAAGUCCAUCAACCAGUACAUCAGCAAAUGUGAUGUCUGCAUCAUUCUCCAAAUGCCCGCUAUUGACGGACAAUCCCUUCGCACAUGCAAGAUUGGUUCGUCCCCACCUUUGCAGACCUGACAAACACUUGACUCUCCAAUAUGACCUCGAACUCGUUCCACAUUCGUCAUGAUAACCUGUUGAGUAACCAACCAAAGAAACGUUCUAACCCUUUCCGGAGCCAUCACCUGCCACAGUCUAGCAAAAAAGGAAGACAUAUCUGUUCGGCACUCAGAAUUUUCCAUCAACAUCUCAUAAGCCGACGUAACCGUAAAAGCACCAUCGGCAGAGUACCCCAAGAUAACCUAUCCCGCACGCCAGUCACGUUAUCUAAAGCAAUAGAGGCUAACUCCAACUGAGUAUUAUGAGAAACGUAGGGCAAAAUUCUGUCAAGUCUCCAACCCAUGCCAUCCACCCAUAGAUUGUGAGCUCGCAACUCCUUAUCUGUAUUUGGUAUCUCUAGAACUGCUCUUUCAGAGACUGAUACGAUAACCAUUUAUCCGCCCAAAAACGAAUUUCUUGCCCAUUACCAAUCACCCAUCUACUACCCCGAGUAGCCACUUCUCUUAACCCUGCCACGAUGCUUCUCCAAGUUGACGAGCAUGGCCUUUUUUUCUCCAUCCAAGUUCGAUCAUGAAUCUCUCCCACUUUAUACUUUUUGCGCAAGAUUCUAGCCCACAAACUCUGCCGAUCAUGAAUAAGCCUCCAGCCAAUUUUAGAUACUAGAGCUUUGUUCAUAAACUUUGACUUUUGAAUGCCAAGACCCCCCUCUCUCUUUGGCAAACAAACUCUAUCCCAAGCUACCAAAUGCAUCUUCUUUUUCUCUAACGAACUACCCCACAAGAAAGCUCUCGCCAGCUUAUCUAAUCCCUCCAACGUUGACUGUGGUAAAGAGAGAGUACUCAUUGUGUGUAUCAGAAUAGAGGAGAGAACCGACUUGGUUAGAGUUAAUCUCCCCGCAAAGCUUAAAGAACGGCCUUUCCAACCCGCUAGCCUUGAAGCCACUCUUUCAAGAACCUCUCCAAACGUAUCUUUAUUUAUCCAUCUUUCGAGAAUAGGCAUUCCAAGAUACUUCCCCAACUCUCUUGUUGAUUUAAUCCCACUCUCAUUACUAAUCAACUUUUCCAAGUCUCAUGAAACAUUCUUUGAGAAAAAUAUCUUAUAUUUCUCCAAGCUCACUUUUUGUCCAGAAGCUACACAAAACGUUUCCAAGAUUCUUCGUAUAACCCUUAUUUGAGAGACCGUUGCUUCUGCAAAUAGAAUUAGAUCAUCGACAAAACAAAUAUGUGAAAUCUUCGGCCCUCCCUAAGACAGACCAAUAGGCUUCCACUCUUUUGCAGCUACAGAUCGAUCGAUCAUGUGACAAAGUCGCUCAAGAUAGAGAACAAAUAAGUACGGAAACAAUGGAUCUCCCUGUCGAAGCCCACGUGACGGUUUAAAGCUAGCAGUCUUCUCUCCGUUCCAAAGGAUACUCAUAGACAGACCAGUGAUGCAUUGCAAAAUCCAUUGGACCCAUCUCUCCUCCAUACCCGCAGCCCGUAUCGUAUCCUCCAGGAAGUCCCACCGAAUACGAUCAUAUGCCUUCUUCAAAUCCAGUUUCAAAAGCAUCUACCCUUUUCUCCCUUGUUUCCUUCUCAUCGAGUGAACAGCUUCUUGCACCACAAUAAUGUUGUCUAAACUGAGCCUCUCCGGGAUGAAGCUAGAUUGUGCUGGACCAAUUAGCUUUCCAAUAACUUGCUUUAAGAGUAACACUAACAUCUUAGUAAGCAUCUUAAAAAGAGCAUUGCGCAUCUUAGUAUGUGCCAAACUUCAAGACUUGUAGAGUUUUGACGAGUGGAGUAGAAGACUUGGAUUUUAGGAUCCUCCAGACAGUAGAGACCUUCAAGUGUUCUUCCCAUUAUCAGCAGCUUCUUGGUUGCCUUAUCAUUUAUACGAACACUAUCAACAUCAAACUCAAUAGAGCACGGGUAGUCACUUGUGAGUUUUGAAACAGACAAAAGAGAUUUAGCAAUAUCAUGGCAAGCAAGAACUUCUUUUAAAGGUAUUUUACCUGAAGAGGAAGCAAUACUACCUGAACCAGUGUGAGUAAUGGGCAAGAAGUUACCAUCAACUACCAUUAUAAAAUCAGAACCAUGAUAGGGUUGAGACUAUUGCAAAACUUGGUGAUUAUUGGUAACAUGAGCUGUAGCUGCUGAAUCUGGAAUCCACUUGUGGCCAUGAUGGUUUGUAACAUUUGUAAUGCGCAUUGUACCAAGAGUCAUUGGUAAGUCUUCGUAUUGAUAGUUGUUGUCAAACCUAUGCCAACAUUUCAGAGCAUGGUGACCAGCUUUACCACAGAUUUGACAUACCACACUUGAGUUUUCCGACUGAGAAACAGAUGAAGAUAAAAUUUGUUGAUGAAAAUCAUGUCCUCUAGUCGAGAAUGAACUCCUGCCACGGCUAGAGUUUGACCUUUCUUUUCCUAUGUUGUUGCGAAAUUAGCCAUUGUCUGAGUGAGUGACAUUGAAAGCAACAUGAGGAGAGAUAGAUGCUUCAGUCACAUAGCUUUGAAGACGGUCAUCAUAGCCUUUUAACUUAGAAGCAACUUCAUCAAGAGAAAGACUUGGAGUAGAGUCAACAGAGUUUUCAAUAUUUGUUUUAAUUGGCUCAUACUCUCUUCCAAGACCAUUCAAAGCAGAAAAGAUUUUCAUUUUCUCUGGAACAUGGUUACCAAUAGAGGCUAACUGAUCAAAUAUAUAUUUCAGAUCUUUGAGAAAAGUUUCCAUGAUGUUAUGUUUCUUUUCCAGAGUUUGCAAUCUUCUUUGCAGUUCAAACAAGCGAGAGGAUGAUACUCUAUUAAAGUGAUUAGCAAGAGUCAUCCAUACCUGAUGAGAAGCGAAGCAGUUGACCACCACACUUAAGAUAUCUUCAGCAAACGAACCAAGUAACCAAGACUUAACAACUUGGUCUGGUUGGUGCCAAGUGUAAAACUCCUGAAUUUGUUCUUCAAAGGUGACACUGUUGUGAGUAGCAGUCCGAGUUUGCGUCAGAGCAAAGAUAGAACCAAUGACAAAGCCGACCAGCCCUUGACCAGAUAAAAAAUUCUCGAACUAGCUCUUCCUUCUAGAGAAUGUAGUUUUGUUGGUAAAGAGUAAUGGUGAAACAGUUGGAAAUAUUGAGAACUGGGUGGAAUUGUAUAAGGUGCCAUGGAUCUUACUUCUAUGAGAUCUGAUACCAUGUUGACAUUUCUAAACUAAGAAUGGUUUAUGCUCAAAUGAGCUUAUUAACAUAGAAAUCUAAAAUUGGAAAAUACAAUAGUUCAAUGAGCUUUAUUGAAAUAUAAAGAAGAAAAAGAAGCUUUAGGUUUUGUCACCAAGAACACUUAGAAGAAAAAUCCACCAUUUUCAAUGGAAGACAAAAAUCCAAUCAGAUUUCCCAUAAAAACCUAACUCUUCCUCAAGUCAUUGAAGAGCUAAAAGAGCUCUGGGCUAUGGUUUUACCAAUCAUAGCAAUAAUUUUUAUAUGUAUUAGCGUUCUUGGUGAAAUAAGAAUGAAGCAUAAUUGUUGUAAAUCAGUGACAAAUCUAAUAUACUUCAUUCUUUUUUCUCCAAGAAUGCUAAUAUAUAUAUAAACUCGUCAAACAAUCUAAACUAUUGUUUGUUAAUUGAACUUCAAGCAAGCAUUAUGUAUAAGUUUGACAUGUUCACAAAACAUGUUAAAUUCAUUUGGUGGUUGGUUGAGGAAGUUUUGCUCACCUAUGUUCUUUCAAACAAUUUCAACAACACAUUUGAUGGCACGUUGAAUUAAAUCUAAGAUCAUAAUCUCGGUGAUCAAUCUACACUACGCAAUAAGAACCACCAUAGAUGUAUAACCAUAUAUGUAUUUAAUAUUAAUCUUAUUAAUUCUGAAUUUUGUUGCUUUCAACUCAUUACCCCGAUAGUAUUUAGAAAGCGAUGUUGUUUAAACAUGAAUUAAUUGAUUCAACAUCAAAAUUCUGGUAAAUAUUGGUUGGUAAAUUGUUCAAAAUCGUGGGUAGAAAAUUAACAACAUUUCUUCGUUUAUAAACUAAAUUGCACGUUUUUAUUAGUAUGUGUUUUAUUUUACAUAAUAUAGUUUGUCAUACUUUUAUUAUAUACACUAUACAUUAUAACCGUAAUUCCAUACGAAGAAAACACAUAUUAUAACCGUAAACCCAAAUACAUAAUCUAUUAUUCAACUAUACGAAUUUCAUUCAAUAUAUAAAUUUUAUUAAAAAAUUGUCAAAAUCUAGUUAUUAAUAUUAGAACUUAUAAGAUGAGGACCCAAAUAAGGGUAUUAGAAAGUGAAGAUCACUUAAACUCUCUCAUACACAAUGAUCGAGGCAGCCUUAUCGAACCCUUUCUCCGACGUCGAUGAAGCCAUGGCUCGCCGGCGUCGGGAUUUGUCUUCCCUUUACUACGUUGUUUCUCUCCCAACACAUCCAAAUCCUUUCUCGGCCCAUGUCCCACGAUCUCCCAUGCCCACUCCUUGCGACGAUUCCUAUAUAUCUGAAUUUCUUCAAGUUACAAUCGUCUUCCUCUGCUAUCAAACAACACCGUUUGAUGCGGCUCAGCCCACUCCUGAAACAAGAUCUUCUCCCUCUAAACCUUUUGUGAUUCCUGUAAAUCGUCCCUCUCAAUGGCUCCCCUUGAAGUCAAGACCUGCAUCUCACAACUCCUUUCUUUGGGAUUCAAUUCCCCCCACCUAGUGUUUUUCUUGGUUUCGUUUGGACCGGAGCUCUGCUUUGACGCCGGAGCCGAUGAGGAUUUCGACGACGGAAUCUUCAACCCACUCCUCAGCUUUGGCAACGCUGACUCGACUAGCUCUAUUACCAAGAAAACUCACCGUCGGCGUGCGGCCACCGUUGACGAAUAAGGGAGGUAGCUUCCUAACCCUAAUGUUGCUUUUCCUUAUUUGGUUUGGGCCUAGCCCAAGAACUGUUUACCCUCCCUCCAAUCCAUUUUUCAAGUCCUCGAAGCCCAUGAACAGUUUUUUUAGGUUAAGCCCACAUCUUGUUUGGCCCAGGUUAGGUCUUUAUUUCACUCUAGCAAACCCAAACGUUUUGAUUUCUUUCUCGUCUUUGGAGAGUAGCUACCUUCCGAGAUUAGUUGUGAUGGUCAUUGUUUGGUUUUGGUUUUCUCUCCCACAAAGUUUGGCAAAUAGGUUAGCUCGUUGGUUUUAUGUUACAAAUCUGAUCUCAAAAAGCUUUGGGCUAACUCCACUUUUGAAGUGUUUUAGAGUCUUGAUGCCCAUGAUCCGUAUUGUUAUGUUUCUGUCAAUUACAACCCCUAUAGCACCCUUUAACUUUGUUUUGGCUGGUCGUGGACUCCACGCUAACAGAGUAACAGUUCUUUUAGGCUGUUUUGAUAGAUACUUUUGUCGAGGUCAUUUGUUAAUUUUGUUUCGAACCCUAUUUGAGACUAUCAUCCCAAACCUUUGGCAAUGUCCAAAAGAGUGAAGAAGAACGCCAUUAUGAUCCCAUCUCCACGGAGCGGUGGUUACCGAAGCUUCUUCAACUCUCUACCUCCUUACCCGCCAAUUACCAAGCUCCUUCAAGGUAUCUUCAAGUAUACGGAUAAGUUGCAAAUCUGUGAAAGCUUGGCAAAGAGCGGCGUUAUGAUCUACCCUUUAUUUUCUCCCGUGGAGCACCUUUUCAAAGGCUCAUAUGCAUUGUUUGCAAUAGCCGUUUAUGACCACACGUUGGUCGAGGAUUUCGCGAAGCCCGUCUUCAUGGUCGAAUCCGCCAAAGCCUCAACAGAUUUUUCAAACCUUGUAAACUUUUUUAAAAGUGAACACCUCUUUGCAAAACUCAUGAAGCCUCUAUCUUCAUUUUCUUGUACUAUCUUAGUUCUAAUUUGUAUGAACUUCCCUUUUUUUAGGCUUAAGUGAAUGAAAAUUAUUGUUUGAGAAAAAAAAAAAAUAAGAUGAGGACCCAAAAGCUCAUAGUUCGUCAUCUGUAACAUGCUGCAUUUUUCAGGCAAAGCAAUCCGACUAAAAUCAAGGAGAUGUGGAGGGGAGAAGCUUCCGCCUGAUACCAACGGUAAGAGCUCCACAUGCGGUGUAGCGAUGCAGAGUAGAAAAGGGAGAUCUACGGCGAAGAACGAGAGAGACAAGUAGAUAGAUCUGAGACCGAAAAUUGUGGCGGUUCCACGAGAUCUUUGUCGAUGGGGGAGGUAUAUUUGAUCCGGCAAAGCGAAGCCAACGUCGAAGGUCUCUGUUUUCUAUUCCCUACUAUUUUCUCUCUUUCAUGACUGAGCAAGGAUCUCUUCAACAAAAACGAGAUCGGCUCUCUUCCUCCUUCUCAAAACAACUCUACAGUGGCGGCAUGGCAACAAAUUUUGGAUCACCAUCUCGUUUGGCUGUCCUAUUUCAGCGAGAAUCUGCAGUUUUGGACGGCGGCUCGAUCAUGUUUUUUGAUUGAGAUUAGGGUUUUCAAUCUUGGUUAGUUAAAUUCGGUUUGUAAAUUUGAGAUGGCUUUAGUUUUGAGCUGCUUUGUUUAUUGUAUUGAAGUUUGUGGAUUGGGUUUUUGCGAUUUUGUAUAUGCUCUAUCUAGAAAUAGCCCAUUAGACAUUAUAUAUAACAAAAAAAAAACAUGAAAAACACUAGAAAUCAUACAAUCAAAUCCGCAUACCUGAAACUUAAAAGACUGGCACAUUCGCUAAUAAUGAAACAUGCAUCAAUGGUCUCUCAAGAGUCAUAUUAUUUGCAUAAGUUGAUUUGUCCCUGCAAAUUCCAAUACAAAGCCUUGUGGACUUAAUUAAGAUAAUAGAUGUGAAAAUUCAAACACAUGAAUCUGUUUAAAAGACAAAAUAAACGUGGCAUUAUAUCAAACAUCUUGUAAUUUCAUAUACAUAAAUAUCAAAUUGAUAUUUCCCUCUCUUUGAGAACUGUCCUUACGAAUUCGUUUCUAAAUAACAUGUUUUAGAUCCUAACUGUUUGUGUUCUUAUGUGAUGGUUUUUUAGGGACCGGUAGGUACAACGUGACUCAUUCUUGUGAGAAUCCAAGUUUUGAACUAUGAUUUAAAGUCACAAUAUAUGGUUACCAUCUCAAAUUUUAUGUAGAGUGCAACUUUUUCUUGAAUUGGCGUGUGUUUGGUCUUCUCGAACUUGCUUCUAACGCUAUUUCAAACUUGGAAAAUUUUGAUUUUCACUCUUUAUCAUCUUGUUUGUUCAAUGAGAUUAGCCGUUUUGUUUGUAUAUUGGGUGUGUCCAAUUAUGCUCUUUUCUUAUGUUAUUGUUUAUGAAUAACUUGUUGAACAUUUUACUUAUCAAUUCACUCCAAUAUAUCCUAAAAUUGGGAUAUGCUCAAAUCACAUCUAGAUCUCAUGAUUCAUAUUUCUAUACCAUUCUUUCGAUUUUGAUCUUGUUUCUGUCUACACCUCCUGUAAAAUAUAUUUUUUACACAAAAUGUAUUUAAAACCCAUUAUACAAAAUAAUAAACUCCAGUAAAGUGAAGAAUUACAAGUAGAAGAAAAAAAAAAGACAUCUCGUACAAAGUCAGAAUUGAGAGAGCCCUAAACACAAGGAAAAAAACAAGAACAACAAGAAAAAGUCCACUUUGUUUGGUUUUAGACAAAAACAGUAACUUACUUUUUUGGUCAAACUCUGUAGAAAGAAUCAAUCUCCCUUGUAAAUCUCACCCUCCUGUCACCAUCUUCCCUCCGUCACUUUCCCAAUUUAAUUUAUAAUCAGAAACCCUACAUAUACACCUAGGUUUAGGGUUUCGCUUUUUCAGAGAAAAAUAGUUUCUUUUUCUUCAAGUUAAAAAAAAAAAAUUAUUAAUCUGGUACGCUACAGUGCACCGAAAUCCCAUAGAUGUAUAAUACUCUGAGCCGUUGAUGAAGCUGACGCAACCGCCACAUGUCUAUCAUCGGCAACAAUGGCGUCAACUUCUCCUACUCUCUCCCUAAUACUGUACAGAUACUCUCCUCUCUCUACCUCCCACACGCGCAUUAUACCACCUGCGCACAUUAGCGCGUGCAGUCUAUUAACACAACCCAUUACUCUUCUCUGCGCCGCUCCACUAACACGGAACUCACACACCGUUUGUUGCGUGUUCACCCUUCGCACGCUAGCGUUUCCUCUACUGUCCAAUCUAACGUACGCUUCGUCGUUGGCAUCGAAGCCUGUCACUAUUAGUCCUCUACGUUGCUCUUCGUCUUCUCCGAUGAUCACUCCUUGGUUUCUUAGAUCGAUCACCAUGAUUCUCCAUCUCGUGCAUGCUACCGCCGUCUCGUUACCGGAGAUUCUGAGACGGCCAAGGGACGUUGUUAGCUCUGUUAACGUGUGCCAUCCCAUGACAGCUUCAGGGUCGGUGAGUGUACCACCGACGAAUGUUGUCUCUUCGCUGUUACAGUCCCAUAUGUGAAAGGCACGACCUGGCACACCCGCGAAAAGACCGACCCACCAACGUCCACAGCCAGUGAAAUCUACCAACGCACCGUCGUUAACUAUAUCUCCUGCGUAAGCCGUGCGUGUGUGACCAACACCGUCUAUUUCCGCCACGUGGAUGUCUCCGUCCAUCGUAGCGAACGUGAGCCUUGAGUCGGAGAUAACAAUGCCUGAGACGGCUCGUGAGAAUCUACCAAAGCGGUCACGUAGAGGUGGCCGUAAGGUCCUGACGUGGAGUCGGUUGUUUAAAAGAAAAAGCCGGACGGUUCCGUCGGCGAACCCUGCGGCUAAGUAGAGGUCUGAGAGGGUGAGACAACGGCAAGAGAGACUAUCAGGCUCGUCCACAUCAGACGGGUCAAAUUGGAGAGUGAAGUAGGUGUGAGUACGCGUCCGGAAGUUUCUAGCCGUCCGAUGACGGUAGAUGAACUCGUCCCGCCACGUGUCGUGCAUCAAAUGUGUUCUUGCCCAAACUUGGCGAGAUAGUAGUUGCCAUAGAUGGUCGGAGCGAGAGACAGCGUGCCACGUGGUGCAAACCUGCGAUUAAGAAAAAUUAUUAUAAGUUUUAACAAAUAUUAUAAUUAGUAGCUUAAUUAAUAAAUGUAUAAAUAAGGGAGAGAGUAAAAAAAGACAUAGAAAGAAGAUAAGUAGGCCUGCAACGAAGCAUGAAAGACUCUAUAUAUAGGGACUAGGAAGAUGGAAAGACAACGACAGACUCAGACACAAGCUCUGCGUAAUAUUUGUCUUACUCAUCGAAACACACAACUCAUUUUUAUAAAAAUCUAUUUUAUGACAUAUGUUCAAUUGACGGGACUAAUCAAUCUCUGGAAGCUAUAGAUAGAGAUAUAACAACAGAAGCCCUAGUGUAAAAGGAAUAAUGAGAGGAAGCCCUAGUCCCAUGUCAAAAGAACAAAAAACAAAUCAAUGUGACAAUAAUACAAAACAGAUGAUAUGUUAAUUUAUUAGGACAGAUGAGAAGACUUUAAAUGAGUUAAGCUGAACAUGAGAUUCCGACUUUGCCAACAAGCGUGCCCUUCUCUCUUUCAUUUCCAAGAAAGGAUAGCUUUUAAGCCUUUGGUCUUGUUAAAAGUAGAGCUUCCCAUAAAUACACAAAUAUUACACUUAUAUAUAGUAGAUGUUUCUCUGUCUCUCUCAUCCCUCUCCAACAAUCCGUGGACCUACAUUCUCUACAUUUACGUUUAUAUUGUUAUUUAUUGUACAUCUUUAUUCCUCAUUAAACGCAAAGUAAUGUAUUUGACUUCGUACUCUAGCUCUAUAGUACAACCUAAAAUCAAAUAUUUCGAAUUCUAUACGAAAAGAAAAGAUAUCUUGUCAAACCAAAGGUUUAAUGUCUAUUAGUCAGAUAAUCAUUAUAAAAAAAGAAUAAUCUAGGCACUAGGGCACGAAAUGUAACAUAAAAUAGAUUAGUACAACAAAUAACAUAUGAUGGAAUGGCAAAUCCUAUUUAUUAUUAUGCAAAUUACCAAUCACAUCAAUAUGAUAUACUUCAAAUAAGAAGGGAAAGAAAGUAGUUCAAAUAUUCCUGAGUUCUAAGAUGACCAGAUUCAGAAUAUCACUUUUGUAUUUUAAUGUGUGAUAUAUCAAAUGUAAGAACAUAGUAUAUAAUCUAUAGACACCACUGCACGUGCUCUAAGAGACCCUUAACAUUGGGUUCCAUGUGCUUUUCGGCAUAUGUAUGCCCAUAAUGUCGUCUCUUUUGACUGAAAAAAAUUAAGGAAAGAAAAAAAAAAGAUAAAAACCCACUUCAAUGGAAAAGAUGAAUCGAGUCAGGAAAAAAGAUAAUUCCAUGAUCAAUUUCAAAGUAAAAAACAACAAUGAAAACUCUAGACUUAUAGCCUUAAUUCUCUGACAAAAGUGUUAUGCUGUAACUACACUGCAGUUUCUUAAAAUUUUAGGGCAAAUUUGAAAAUUCAAUUAAUUAGAAAAUAUUAUGGGAUUUAAUAAUGAUUUAGAAUUAUCAUGUAUACAUAGAGAAGUGAGAUAAAAUAAGAGAAUGAGAAGUUGUCAGAAGCUCUGCAUGCAUUACUCAGUGGAUCAUAAUAUUGGCAGAGAAAAAAAUAACAAAAGCAGGACGCAAAAAAUGUACAUAUGUACUUAUAUACUAUUCCUCGUUACUAUAUAUGAGAAAAAUCUUCAGCAUAAUAUAUAUAUGUAUUAUUUGUUUUUUUAUGAACAAAAGAAAAAACAGCUAUUUUCAUAUAUAACAUAGGAUUAUUAAAAAGAAUAAUAUGAAUGCCUGAUAUAAUACAUGGAUCAUAUAUCUGUUGAUGAAUAGAGUUUUCAUGUAUGUAGAAAAUAACCUAAUGUGGUAAUAUAGGACUAACAUUGGCAAGGCAAAAAGACAGGACCUUACUUAGGUUUCUUUUCAUUCUCUUUUUAGAUGUUGUUAAAUGUGCAACGACAUUUUCUAGUUUUAUGAGUCUGUCGUGAGAGGUCACUUUCUAUUAUUAUAAUUUUAAAACAAUUAGCAGAUAAAUACCGUUAUAAUUAUAAUUCUAAAAAAUAUUAAAUCUAUUGGGCAUUGGACUAAAGACUGUGCCUAAUGUCUAUCAACCAAUAUUUGGAGACAAGAAAGUGUUUAAUUUGAUUAUUAUUGUAAGAACUUUUGAGUCAAAAAGUGGAUUUCUUGAUCUUAAAAAAGGGCUUUCUACAUGCCAAGAAAGGAAGAUUUAAAGCCAAUAAAAUAAAAUAAAACCUUGAUUUUGUGCCCUAAGGGAUCCAAUUCAUAAUAUAAUAUUAAUAUUAGAGUUACUAUGCCCAAAUGUUGUACAAAGAUUACACAAACGAGAUGGGGUUGUAUGGUCUCCUUAGAGGAUCCAAAAAUAGACAUUAAAAGGUAUCAAAAGUAGACGAGAGAACAAUGAAAAAGAAAUAAACUUAUUGGGUAAAAAUGGAAGACAAAAAGUUUCUAAAUACAUAAAAGAAAAACAAAGUCCCCAAACUAUAUGAUAUGUGAAAGAGACAUCAAAUUAAUGUCGUCUUGUUAGACAUAAAAGUUGGACUUGGACCCAUCAUAGAAACACAGAAAGGGCGGUUACCUUUCCAAAGGUCAGUUUUUUUUUUUUUUUGUCUCUUCAGAAUCCCAACCUUACAAACUAAUAUCACAUUCAAUCGAAUUGAAGUAACAUCAUCACUUAAUUAUGAUCUAAAGAGUAAGAAUUCGUUAUACCAAAAAGAAUUAGAACGGCAGAAUCAAAUCUAAGCUUAGAAACAACUAAAGUACAAGACACUUGAAACAAGCAGUACAUUUGACUAGACCAAGAUUGUGUCCCUCCACUUAAGUUAUUAUAGACCCACGACUACUUUGACUUUGUUUUGUCUGCAUAAGAUCUAUGUCUCACUAUUUUCAAGUUCAAAUAUAAGCUAAUAAACGAAUUCAGAUAGUGUAACGAAAAUAUUACUUUACUACCUGAAGUACAUAUAUAUAUAGAGAGACACGAGAUAAUUGAUGUGUCUCGACCGUUACAAAACUAAAAGAAGGUAUUCAAAGAACGUUAGAACUGACCCGAAAAACGUUGGCAAGAGCCGGAGCUGCGGCGAGGAGGCCGGCGGAUGUGGAAGCGUUAACGGCAACUUGAACGGCGAGAGAUUCAAGAAAAGGCUCCGGCCAAACAUCGUUGGCUCCGCGGCGAGGGCGGGAUGGAGAUGGGGCCUCGAAAACGCCGCCGCUUCCACCGGCUCCGUUGUCGGAAGAAGAGGAGGAGGUAGACAUGAGACGAGAGGGGUUAUAAGAGGAACAGGGGAAGAAGAAGAAGCGGAGAGAGGAGAAAGAAUGGUGGGGGAGAGAGGAAACAAAGGACAAAAAGUGUAGAUAAAGACAUACUUCUCCGAGGUGGGGGACCCAGGUUGUGAAGGUAUGUUUUUUUCCUAUUUUUAUUUUCUUUUGUCAAGAUUUGUUAUUAUUUGUUUUUGUUUAUUCUUAAUAGAUGCAGAUUUGUUUGUGAAAUAGCUUCAAUUUUAUAUUUUUUAGGAAAAGUAUUGGUUCAGUAUGGUGACAUAUUUCAAAAUUUCUUUCUUUUGAUAUGCAGAUUUUGAAUUAUAAUGGCAAUAUAACAGCUAUAUUAUUAUAAAUCACUAGAUUUAUAUUUUGACGAUUUUUUAUAUUUAAAAUAGUGUUAUAUAUCAUUAAGAAUUCAACAAUAUAUUUGCUAAGUUUAUUUCCUUCCGCGAACAUUAGUAAAUUUUUUGUAUAUGGUAAACUAUUGGCUAAACACAAAUAUUUGUAGAUCGAUCCAUUUUAAAAAUGAGAAAUAAAAUAAUAUGUAUACGCAAAAAAUUUGUCAGAGAGAUCAAACUCGUAGCACCAAAUCUCGACUUUCAUACCAGUAGUAAAAACUUUUAAAGCAUAGUUUAACAUAUUUUUUUUUCCCAACAUACUAUUGUCAUUAUAAGUAAAUAAUUUUUGGAAAUCUGGUUAAGCAUAUUCUUAUCAUUACAAUCCUCAAACCUAGAAUUCGCCAUAUUCUGUCAUCACAAAACUUAACCCUACUUUUUCUCAUAUUGCAGCUAUCACGAUCCUCAAAACCACGGUUCAUCGUGAACUUUAGUCCAAACUCAUCACAAACCAACACAUGAGCAUGCGAUGCUUUUAAGUUUAUUCCUCAAUCUAAAUAUAGAAAUAUUUACAUUUUCUGAAAAUUAUUCAUAUAUAUAGUGCUUUUAUAUAAUUACAAUUAACAUUUUUGAUUAGUAUUUUUUAGUUAAAACAUUUUUAUUCUUUUUUAAUUAAAAAUAAUUAACGAAAUAAUGAUGAAUCACGUUAUUAAGAGAGAAAAAAAAAUAAAGCCACAUUAUUAACGUCACUAAGAGGAACAUUUUGGUUUUCCUCCCAGACAUUGUUCAUCUUGGGAAAAAAAAAUGUCUUCUCUUUUACUAGGUGUUUAUCCGAAAACGAAGAAAACCUAUUUCUCGUGGCUAUUCUCUCUUUCUCUCGUCUCUUCCGCCCGAAACUUUUAACGUCGUUGUCAUCGAGUCACAUUUCGUCUCAACUCAACUUGUUUCGAUAUGUGUCAAAUCUUUAUUUCGAUUUUUCCGACAAUAAUCAGACAUCUAAGUUCAAUAGCAAGUGAUUCCCAUGAUUAAAACCAUUUUCUAAAACCACUGUUAUGAUAUUGAUGGUUUUUAUCGACGCUUAUUACGGCUGAUUUUUGCCGUCGAUUUACAUAUGGUGGCUGAUUUGUUAUUUCUAUUCGAUUUGAUGGCUGAGUUAUUGUAUGCUUUAGGACUGAUUUAUGAUUUAUUAAUGCAUAUGUGGUUGAGUUUGUUUUGUGUUGUGGCUUGGUUACUGUAUGUUUUAUGACUGAUUUAUGAUUUAUCAAUGCAUAUGUGGCUAGGUUUGUUUUAUGUUGUGGAUGAGUUAUUGUAUGUUUGACUGAGUUAUGAUUUAUCAAUGCAUCUGUGGCUAAAUUUGUUUUAUGUUGUGGCUGAGUUAAUGUAUGGUUAUGGCUGAUUUAUGGUUUAUUAGAUGGCUAAGGUUAUUUCUGAAGAACAAGCAAAGGAUUACCCUCUAAGAAUUUACGCAGAAGGAGAGUCUAAUCUAGAGAAUAAACUCAUUAAUCACAAUAUCAAGAUGACAUAUUUCUAUGGGAUUUAGAGAAUUAGUAUGAUAAGAUGUGUGGGAUCAAAUGAAGGAGGCACCUAUUGGAAUAAUUACUAAGUUAUCGAAUAGUCAAUUCGUGUGGUCUCGUAAGACUGUACAUUUUCUAUUAAGUAGACAGUUAAUAAUACUUUUGAAGGAGAUUUGGUGUCUCGUUGGUUAAUGCUAUAAAGAUGUUGAGGCCUAUUGGAAAGUCGUACACCAUCAGUGGUAUGGUUUUCAUGUUACAGGCUUGGGCAUAUGAUUCAGUCAAAUGCUUUGGAGAGCGAUAUAGGAACGUAGUCAAUAAGGAUGAAAUAUCGUUGCUUAGAUGGGGUGGAAACCGUACACGUACAACAAUGGAAUUUGAUGUAGGUCAAAUUGCUCUAAGUUUACUCCCUCAAAUAAGAGAUCGUCGUUAGUACUUAAGGGUAAAAUUCCACAAAACUCUUUUGUUCACACAAUAGGCUAAAGUAUCAAAAUCAAGCUAGAUAGAUGAUAAGAAAAUAAAAAGAAAGCAAGUAAGUAGAUAGUGGAUUGUGAAGUUGUAAGACAAGAUAAUAAAAACGUUAGGUUUAGGGUAUUCUCAGGAAAUAGAUGAUAAGAGAUAUAGAAAUAGCUAGGAUGUUAUCGAAUCGUUCUUAAACUCAAACCCUAAUUACAGAAUAAGCGGUGGUUCGCCGUGCUACUCAAUAUGCCUAGGGCUAAAGAUUCCCAGCGGUCGCUUGGCAAAUCCCUAUAUUAAGACAUGCAUGAUAAACGAGUUUGAUAAGUUCACCUAAAUAGAUAGGCCGAUUCUUAUUUCACAUCUAUAAACUUGGCUCAUCAAAUAGUAUUUCUGGUAACAUAUACCUUUUUGGGCAUACCUAUUAUUUAAGAUUAAGUUCUAAUUAGUUACUCUAGAACUAGCAUUAAGAAUAACCAAAGAUGAAAAAUCCUACAUAUAUCCUAGCAGGUGAACAAUCUACUAAAUCAUCUAAAUCCCUAAUGAGAAACCCUAACCCUAACAAGUAGACUACUCAUACAUGAUGGAUGAAACAAACAACAUUUAUGAAUGAGAAAGCAUAAACAAAAUCAAUAAGAAGAAAGAGUUAGAAAAUAUCUCUUCGGUAUUAUUGAAAUCUCUGAUAAAACUCAGAAAAAUGAAUCCAAUGUAUAAAUAGCUUAUAAAAUGCUUUAGAACAAGUUAGGUGGCUAAAAACUUGUUAGGUCACAACAAUGACCUUAAAACUAUAUAUAUAUAUAUAUAUAUAUAUAUAUAUAACCUAAAAACGUGUAGGUUACAUUAUUAGGGCGCAACUGGUGUCGAUCGACACCAAGAGUGUGUCGAUCGACACUCUCGACUUGAUCUGAAACUAAAUUCGUCAUUUGGCUUAGUUUCUUUAGCAUUUGCUCCAAAUUGUCUCCUUAACUCCAUUCUUGUCCCAAUCCAAAGAAUACCUUAAAAGACUCUAAAAGGACUCUAAAACCUAUAUUUAAAUCAUAGUUAAUGUUGGUGUCGGAUCCCGCAUCAUGGGCUCGGAUCCGGCCAAAGAUUGCUACGUGGGUAAAAGAAGCCCAUAAGAGAAAGGCCCAUAAACGUCCUCGAGGUGAGAGUAUGGAUGAGGUGUUGAGUUGCGAAGUGAAUACAUCAUCGAAGUCAAGACUACCCGGAUUGAAGAGGCCGAAUGGGCCGAAAGGUGAAGUCAAGAAAAGCUCGGAGUGGAUUCAAGUUCCAACGUUCAAAUAGUUAAUUCGAAGGCUAGAAACGGACACAUUUAAGAUAGAAUGAUUGUGAGUAAAUAGGUAUUAAAUGUAUUCUUUGGGUAUAAAUUGUGGGUCAAAGACCAUGUAAAGACAGACGCAUUUCUUGGUGCAAAUUAGCUAUACACACUCUUUUACAAUACUCAUAGUUUUCUCUAUAGUCACUUGUCUAUUUUCUAGUAUAUUUGUCCUCAAGAAUAAUCCUUCCCACUAAAUAAAUAAAUACUUGAGUGUGCGAAUCCGACAUCCACAGUUAAAAACAGUAAAAAUAGGGUUAUAUCAGAAUCGACCAUUGCUAAAGAUAUCUAAGUGCAUGGUGAGAUAAGGUUUUGGCUGUGUUGUGAUAGUUACUGAUUGAGUUAUGAUUUGAAAUGGCUGAUUUAUGGUUUGUGAUGGCUGAUUUAUAUUUUAUGAUGGAUGAUUUAUGGUUUGUGAUGGCUAAGUUAUAUUAGUGAUGGUUUAGUUUUGAUUUAUUGAUAUUUGAGUUAUAUUUUAGUGAUGGCUUAGUUAUGGUUUAGUGAUGGUUGAGUUAUGGUUUAGUGAUGUCUAAGUUAUAAUUAUUGAUGAUAGAGUUUAAACUAACUAAUGUGUUUUAUUUUGUUAUAGUUGCGUGUGAGUAAAAUGGUUAUGAAGGAUGAUGUAAGAGAGUUAUUUCAUACGUGGCCAAAUCAAGUAGAAGACCCAACACUUGAUCACUUGAUCGAAAACAUACAUGAGAAUAAGUUUGUUAAAGGUUAUAGGGAUGUGAAGAGAAAUGAGAAGAAGAACAAACAUGUAAAUGGUAAAGUAGCGGUUGAGUCUGAAUCUCACGCAAAGAAGCAGAAAGUCUCCCACAGUGAGGGUGGUGAAUAUUAUGAAGGACAUGCACAAAGGAAGAAGAAGAAAGAAAGAAGCAAAGGUAGUGAUUUGUGAACAAAAGUGAGGCUGGUGAAUCUGGUGAAGGAGAUGCACAAAAGAUGAAGAAGAAGAAGAAAGAAGCUAAGGUAAGUUAUAUGGUCUAUGGUGAGUUUAUAUUUUAUGUAAUGUUUGGCUAGCUUGUUAGUGUUUGUUUUUUUGUAUGUAUUGCAUGGUGUUAGUGAGGAGGAUGAUGUUCUCGAAGAUGUGUUGGUUAGAGCAGUCGUGGAUAUGGUGUCCAAAUUAACUUCAAGUUUUAACACUGUUGAUACAAGCAUUAGAGAAAUGUCUUCAAAUCUAGAGAAGGUGAUUGGAGAUAGAGUGGAAGCGAAGAUGGAUGCAAAGUUGGAAAGCGGAUUUGGAUAUAUUGAUAGUGAGUUCAAACAGAAGAAAGAGCAUUUGAAUGUCAUGGCCAUGGGGGUAGAGCAAACUGACCAAAAAGCUAAUGAUUACGAGAACUCAGAAUUCAAAAUUACAGAUCUACUCAGUAUUUAGAAGCAGCGAGAUCAGCUACUAUGACAACAACAACAACAAAAAACACCAAAAGGUUCAAGAAAACCUCGACAAAACUACUAUGUUACUAGUCCUCCUCAUGUAAGCUAAUAGUGCAACACAUAUGUUUGAAUUAUAAAUACAUUGCGGCUGAUUAAUAAUUUUCUUAUUUACUUACGGCUGAGUUAUCAUUAUCUUAUGACUGAGUUAUCAUAAUGUUUAUACAGGCGAAGGAUAUUGUCGAUGUAGUAGAGAAGGAUAAUGGUAUUGAUGAGGUCAAUAAGAAUAUGGAUAAAAAAUUUGUGAAGGCCAUUGAUGGGGUCAAUAAGAAUAUGGAUAAAGAAUUUGUUAAGGCCAUUGAUGAAAAACGAUGGUGAUAUUGGUUUCAUUGAGAAGUCUCUUGGUUAUAGGAAAUUACGCCCUACGACGAGGAGAAAUAACAAAGAGAAUGAAGAGGUAAAGAAGAAAUCCGUCAAAGAGCAAAUCAUCAAAGAGCCAACCGUGAAAGGUAAGAGAGGUAGAAAACCUGUAGAGGCGAAAAAGUUGACCAUAUAACUACAUCCUGCUCUUGUUAUUAAUGAGAAGGGAGAAGCUGAUGAAACAAAAUUACCUGCUCUUAAUGUGAAGAGAGAGUGUUGUUGUCUCCAAAAAAGCUGAGGAAGUCACUGACAAUGAUGGUUAGAAGGAAGGUGACAGUGACGUAUGAGAUGUCACAUACCAGUUUAUCGGUGAAAACGGAAGCACGUUCCCUGAGUCUGAUGAUGAUGAGGAUUGAUAUAAUCGAAGCUUUAAAGACGCAGAGUAUUAAGCUGUCUACGGAUGGUAGUGCAUUGAAUCCACUCUUUAAUCUCUCAACACGGGUUUUUCCUAAUACUGGAGACAACAGACUGAAGUGCAUGAGGAAGAAUUGUGUGCCUUCAGCUGGAAUAUAUGAUCCUCUAUCACCGGCUGAUACAGCCAAAUUGUAGAAACUUAAGGAUUACUUAUCCCCAUUCUAGUAUGACCCUUUAUACCUUAUUAAGUUGUUAAUUACAACUUGUUAACAUUAUUUCUGUAUAUUAACUUGUGUUUAUUUGUUAGGAAUCUCCCAUUGGGCAGGGCAACAAACGAUGUUGAUUUCUACAGGGUUAUCAUCUCCGAAAGAAAGCACUGACCAACCAGAGAAUAUGGAUGGUUGUUCGAUAGUGUAAGUAUUACAUUAGCAGAGUUAUUAGUGUGUUUUGUCAGAGUUUUACUACAUUAUGGCUGAGUUAUUGGUGUGUUAUGCUACAUUAUGGCUGAGUUAUUAGUGUGUUUUGUCUAAGUUAUGUUAUAUUGUGUCUGGGUUAUUAUUUUGUUUUGUCUGAGUUUUUUUUUUGUACAACAUGUGGCUGCGUUAUAUAGAGUCCUCAGGAAUAGGUACAAGCGAAAUCUCUGCCCAUUCCACAACAAACGCAUUGCAUUUCUAGACACGUGAUUCGUGUCUUUUUGGGUUAGAGAGUAUGUACAGUGCAAAAUAUAAAAGAAGAUGUUUAAAUUCAAAGACACCCCGUAUGAAAAGAUAGUUAAUGGUUUGCUUCCAGAUAAUCAACAGACAAAUAUGAAGUGAAUAGAAGAUGUGAAUCACUUGUAUUUGAUUCCCCAAACCAGAGGCGAUCACUAGGUGGCACUACACAUGGACCAGAUUAAGGGGCACAUUGAUUGCUAUGAUAUCAUUGUGGGAUAAGUUACAAGAAACUGAAUAGAAUUGAUUAGAAUGUUGUAGGCCGUUUACGAGAAUGAUUCCAGCAAUGAUGAACGUGCUAAUUCCUACUACAAUCGGUGAACAUAGGUUUGAGCAGUUUACAUUCAAAAGGAGUAGUGUCUCCAGGGUCCCUCAAAACGUACAAGUUGGAGCUGCGGCGUGUACUCGUGUUAAUUUUUUGAAUGUCUAACGCUUGGUAUAACUUUCAAUGACAUAUGUGAUUUCAACCUAUACAGGUUAAGAUGGCAGCAUAUAUCUACAAUAAGGCACCUAAUCUGCUUGGACAGUUUAGGAUUUUGACUUGGGAUAAUUAUAUUAACUUUUGAAUCGUAUUUUUUUCAACAAUCCAUAAGACCAAUGAAUUUUGUUUUCUUUAUAAUGGUUUGAUUUCAAACUAAUUUUCAUAUCUUGGCAUUUUCAGAUAAUUAAAUUGGAAUUUUACAUUACAAUUAUUCUUCUCAUAGAAUCAAAAUGAUAAAUCUAUAUUAAAUAUGUUACUAUAUUCCAAACUUUUUUGGUUUAGUUUUAUGGACUUACUAUAUUGUGCAUAACUCAAAUUAAAUUAAGACAUUUUCACUUGGGAUCACUAUAUUAAUUUUUGAACCGUAUUUUUUUCAACAAACUAUAAGGCCAAUGAAUUUUGUUUUCUUGUAAUGGUUUGAUUUUAAACUAAUUUUCAUAUCUUGGCCUUUUUAGAUAAUUUUAUAUUAGAACUAUUCUUCUCAUAAAAUCCAAAUGAUAAAUCUAAAUUAAAUAUAUUGCAAAUCUUCCGAACUUUUGUUUGGUUUAGUUUUAUAGACUUGCUAUAUUAUGCAUAACUCAAAUUACAUUUAAAAACUCCAUUUGUCAAACAUUAGGUUUUAACAAAUACCUCCAUAAUCCCCAUGUGGCUUUCUAGUACAAUUAUUUGUCAAACCUACGAUCUAUCUUCAUUUUAGAAUUUCUGAGAUUUCUCUCACAGCCUAUAAAUCAAGUACAACAUUAGGUUUAUAGCAUGAUCUCCAACAUUAAGAAUAAUCAAGUUUUUACCAUUUGUUGUUAUUUCCAACUUAACAUGAUCAAAACUAAAUGCGUGGAGUCUUUAUGUCCUCGACAUAACAUUAUGUAAAUACUUUUUGACUAAAAAUAGUACCAUUCACCCUUCUAACUCUAUGUCAAUUUGACUACAAAAACAUUUUGACAAAAAAAUGAACGAUUACAAAUUACACUGAUGGAAAAUAUACUUAGUCGAAUAACCACCAACGGUUGAAUGUAAAUGUGGAGUUCCAAUUAUUAAUCAUUUUUUUCGGCACUCAAUUCACGAAUGUGAAUCACCACUAACGCAUCUAGGAAUAUAUAUAGUAAGGUAUACAACUUAUUUUUUAAUCAAAACAAAAAAAUAUUUGUAGAUUUUUGGGACCUUUGGUUUUCCUUAAAAUAGAUAAGGGAAUAUUGGAGGAUAGAUAUGAAUCUAUAUGAAUUAGAAUUUAAGGUCUUAAAUCCCUUUGUGAUAAGGUUUGGGAUACCUAUAUUUUAGGAUCUGUGUUUAUCUCCUGUGGAAACUCUCUUGUAUAAAUACGAACGUGAGUUCAUCAAUAAAAGCAAGUCACUUUGAUAACCAAUUCUACAUGGUAUCAAAGAGCUGAGAUCAUCAAAAUCAUCUUCAAAAAUUUUGUGUUCUUAAGUUAAGAAUUCUUAAAUUGUUUCCUUUCUCUGUUGAGUUGAUAGUCUUGUGUGUCAAGUAACAAUGACAAACCCAACGUCUGGUGAUGGAUCUUUGUCAACCAUGUCGAGUUCUAUCGGAAAACAACCAGAGGUGGUGACGUCGGCGGUGACAGUGUCACCGUUCACUCUUUCUAGCUCCGAUAAUCCGGGGGCUAUGAUUCCAUCGGUCAUGUUGACUGGUGACAACUACAAUUCUUGGUCGACAGAGAUGCUAAACGCUCUUCAAGCCAAACGAAAGACGGGUAUCAUUAACGGUGCAAUACGUAAACCACCUGCUGAUGAUCAAAAUUUCGAAAAUUGGACAGCGGUGAAUUCUAUGAUAGUUGGAUGGAUCCGAGCUUCCAUCGAACCAAAGGUGAAAUCCACCGUGACUUUCAUCUCAGAUGCUCAUCAAUUGUGGAUUGAUUUGAAGCAAAGAUUUUCUGUGGGCAACAAAGUGCGUAUUCAUCAACUCAUAGCACAGCUCGCGACAUGCCGUCAAGAUGGACAAUCUGUUUUAGAUUACUAUGGACGGUUGAGUUCGUUGUGGGAAGAAUACCAAAUUUACAAACCCAUCACUACGUGUACGUGUGGUUUGUGCACUUGUGGUGCCACAUGACAACCAUCCAAAGAACGAGAAGAAGAGAAGAUUCAUCAAUUUGUGUUGGGACUUGAUGAAUCUAGGUUUGGAGGAGUUAGUACCAAUAUCAUAUCUAUGGAUCCUCUUCCAACUCUUGGUGAAGUAUAUUCGAGAAUCAUAAGAGAGGAGCAUUCUUCUCGCAACAACGAGCAACAUCGAGAGUCAGUUGGUCUGUUUACUCGACAUGACCAGUCUGCUUCAGAUGUCGCUGCCUACUUUGGGAAAUCAGAUGUGACUGCUUUAAACAGACCUGAAUCCUCAAUCAUCAAACCCCGAGAUUGUAACGUGCUCUGUUCGCAUUGUGGACGAGCUGGGCAUGAAAAACAGGAGUGUUGGCAGAUCGUGGGGUUUCCUGAUUGGUGGAAGGAACGAGAACGUCUUCAAAAGGCUAGUGGUCGUGGAGGAGGAGGACGAGGAGCAGGACGAGGAAGAGGACAAGCUUUUACAGCUCAUGCCACAAGCUCACAUUCCUCUGUUUUUCCUGACUUUACACCGGAACAAAUAAAGGUUCUUCAACAAAUGGUCACCGAAAAAUCAAGCACCAAUAACGUCGACAAGUUGUCGGGUAAGAGAGCUCUUGGUAAUGUGAUACUUGAUACAGGGGCUUCUCACCACAUGACGGGAAACCUUUCUCUAUAACAUAACAUCAAAAAUAUUUCGCCAUGUUCGGUGGGAUUCGCAGAUGGAAGUAACACAUUUGCCUUGAGUAUGGGAGUGUUCCCAUUGUCUGACACGGUUUCGUUAACCGAUGUCCUAUACGUACCAUCUUUAAAUUGCACACUUAUCUCAGUUGCUAAGUUCAUAAAACAAACCAAGUGUGUAGCUUUGUUUACUGAGACCUUGUGCGUUUUGCGGGACCAAUUUUCGAAGACUUUGAUUGGAAGCGGUGAAGAGCGUGAUGGGGUUUACUACUUUACGGAUGUUGUUUCACCAAAGAUACAUAGCGUGGAUGUUGUUUCUGACAAAGCGUUGUGGCAUCGGCGAUUGGGACAUCCAUCAUUUUCUGUUCUUUCAACUUUGCCUAUGUUUCUAGUUCUUCGAAAUCUGCUACUCCAAGUCCUUGUGACAUUUGUUUUAGAGCUAAGCAGACUAGAGAGGUUUUUCCAGAGAGUUUUAAUAAAGCAAACGAUUGUUUUUCUUUAAUACAUUGCGAUGUUUGGGGGCCUUAUCGGGUUCCAUCUUCAUGUGGAGCAGUUUACUUCUUGACUAUUGUUGACGAUUAUUCAAGAGCGAUGUGGACAUAUCUGCUUCUUCAAAAGUCAGAGGUACGAAAUGUGUUGACAAACUUCAUUGCAUAUGCAGAGAAACAAUUUGGAAAAACAAUAAAAAUCGUUAGGAGUGACAACGGGACUGAAUUUAUGUGCCUCUCUUCUCACUUUAAGCAGCAGGGUAUCAUACAUCAAACAUCUUGUGUUGCGACGCCACAGCAGAAUGGUAGAGUUGAGAGAAAACAUCGCCACAUUCUUAAUGUUGCUAGGGCAUUGUUGUUCCAAGCUAGCUUACCUAUCAAGUUUUGGGGAGAAGCAAUUCUUACUGCAGCAUAUCUCAUCAAUUGCACACCCUUUUCAGUUAACAAUGGUCGUUCCCCAUAUGAAAUUCUACACAACAGCAAGCCUCCCUACGAUCAACUCCGAGUGUUUGGUUCAGCUUGUUAUGUUCAUCGUAUGGCUCGAGACAAAGAUAAAUUUGGAGAAAGAAGUAGACUUUGCAUUUUUGUUGGUUAUGCUUAUGGAAAGAAGGGAUGGAAGGUUUAUGAUUUGGAGAAAAAUGAAUUUUUCAUAUCUCGUGUUGUUAUUUUCCGGGAAGAUGUUUUUCCAUAUGCAGCUGGUGAUGUUAAUUAUGUGCAUGUUUCUUCAAUACAAGUCAUUCCUGAUGAAGACUGGCUGGUACCUCCGUCUAUAGUUGUAAGGGGGAGCUCAGAGUCUCAAAUCGACUCUGUUCCAGCAACUCAAGCGGCUCCUCAAAUCGACUCUGUUCCAGCAACUCAAGCGGCUCCUCAAAUCGACUCUGUUCCAGCAACUUUAGCGGCUCCUCAAAACGACUCUGUUCCAGCAAGUCCGGUUUUGCUUGAAAAAUCCACGAGUUCGUCUCCUGUUACAAUUACACCACCAGCUUCUCCGAAAAUAAGAACAUCGUCUUCUUCACCAACACUAGCGCCACUUGUUGAUGUUUUAAAACCUGCAGAUUCGCCUCAUCCUAUUGUGGAAUUGCGUCGAAGCAAACGAGAACGACAGGAAUCUGUUAGACUCAAAGAUUAUGUGGCUCAUAAAGUAGUAUGUUCUUCAGAAACCCAUCACGCUCUGCCCAUCACUGCCUCUCCAUCAUUGUCUUCGUCAACGGUCUAAGGUACGUUUUCAUCUGAAUAUGAGUCUCUGUAUUCGUUAACAGAUUUUAUCUCGGAUGAACAAUUCUCACUAGGACAUCGUGCGUUUUUGGCUACCAUUACAAAAUCGGUUGAGCCUAAGCAUUUCAAGGAAGCUGUUCAAAUAAAAGUUUGGAAUGAUGCUAUGAUCAAGGAAGUUGAUGCUCUUGAAAUUAACAAGACGUGGGAUUUGGUUGAGCUUCCUCGCGGAAAAAUUGCACUUGGAAGUCAGUGGAUUUACAAGACGAAAUACAACUCGGAUGGUACGAUAGAACGGUAUAAAGCUCGUCUAGUAGUCCUGGGUAAUAAUCAGAUCGAGGGAGAGGAUUACAAAGAAACUUCCGCCCCUGUCGUGAAAAUGACUACGGUUUGUGCUCUUCUUCGACUCGUUGCUGCUAAUCAAUGGGAGGUAUACCAAAUGGAUGUCCAUAAUGCAUUUCUCCACGGAGACUUGGAAGAAGAGGUAUACAUGAAACUCCCUCCAGGCUUCCGUCAUUCACACCCCGAUAAAGUUUGUCGACUUAAAAAGUCUCUAUACGGACUUUAACAGGCUCCACGUUGUUGGUUCAAGAAGUUGUCUGAUUCGUUACUUCGAUUCGGGUUUGUUCAAUCAUAUGAUGACUACUCUUUAUUCUCUUACACUCGUGAAGGUAUGGAGAUCCGAGUUUUGAUAUAUGUCGACGAUCUCCUCAUUUGCGGGAAUGAUAAUUAUAUGCUUCAAAAGUUUAAAGAAUAUUUGAGUCGUUGCUUUGCAAUGAAAGACUUGGGGAAACUCAAAUAUUUUUUGGGGAUAGAGGUGAGAAGAGGACCAGAGGGUAUUUUUCUGUCACAGCGCAAGUAUGCUUUGGAUAUUGUGGCGGAUUGUGGAACUCUCAGUGCUACAGCUGCUGCAACUCCUCUUGAACAAAACCAUCACUUAGCUGAUGACGAUGGUCCCUUACUGGCUGAACCAAAGAAGUAUCGAAGGCUGGUAGGACGCUUGAUCUAUCUCACUCACACACGACCCGAGUUAAGCUAUUCGAUACACGUUUUAUUUCAAUUCAUGCAAGUUCCACGUGAGGCUCAUUGGGAUGCUGCUCUUCGUGUCGCUCGUUAUCUAAAGGGAGCUCCUGGUAAAGGCAUUUUGCUCAAAGCUAAUCCGGAUCUUACUCUUACUGUCUACUGCGAUUCAGAUUAUAAUUCUUGUCCUCUAACAAGGCGCUCUUUGAGUGCUUUUGUUGUUUUGCUUGGUGGCUCUCCUAUUUCUUGGAGAACAAAGAAACAAGACACUGUCUCUCACUCUUCCGCUGAAGCUGAGUAUCGCGCAAUGUUUGUCGCUCUCCGUGAGAUAAAAUGACUUCGAAAACUCUUGACAGGAUUGGGUAUCAAACUCACUGCGCCAGCUCGUUUCUUUUGUGAUAGUUAGGCUGUGAUUCACAUUGCGGCAAACCCAAUGUUCCACGAACGCACCAAGCACAUCGAAUCAGACUGUCACUUUGUCCGAGAUGCUGUCCGAGAUGGACUUAUCACUACUUGUCAUAUUGGCACUACGGAACAGCUAGCAGAUGUCUUAACCAAGGCCCUUGGACGUGUUCAAUUUCUUACCUUAAUGUCCAAGUUGGGCAUUCAAGACCACCAUGCUCCAACUUGAGGGGGAGUAUUGGAGGAUAGAUAUGAAUCUAUAUGAAUUAGAAUUUAUGGUUUUAAAUCCCUUUGUGAUAAGGUUUGGGAUACCUAUAUUUUAGGAUCUGUGUUUAUCUCCUGUGGAGCUCUCUUGUAUGAAUACGAACGUGAGUUCAUCAAUAAAAGCAAGCCAUGAUAACCAAUUCUACAGGGAAUUUUAAUAAAAUGUCAAAUCUCUCAAAUUCAUUUUGUUUUGUGGGUACUUGAAUUCAGCAAACGAUUUGUCAUUUAAAAAAAAAAUCCUAAGCAAUCAAAAUUUAUGGUUUUUAGCUAAUUUGAUUUGCGUGGCAACAUUGUAUUUACCGAUUCUGUGCAAAUUUGACUUAGGCCUUGUGAAACCCCAAACAAAUAGGAUGGCAAAUAAUGACAAGAAAACCUCAUUUUGCUGUAUGAUUGAUACAUUUAUUUUGCAAAUGUCUUUGUAGUCAAACCCGACCAUACAACUAAAUAUAAAAUUUGAUUGGAUCAGAAACCAUAUAUUCUCUCGCUGGACUCUUGUAAGAAAACUAAAGAUAAUCUAAUACGAUUCAGGUGAAAAAAACUAACAUCACAUUAUUUUUGUAUAAGUUAAUAUUGAACUAUAUAUAUAUAUAUAUAUAUAUAUAUAUAUAAUCCUUUUACAAAAAAUAUAUUUUAUAUAUAUAUAUAUAUAUAUAUAUAUAUAUAUAAAUCUAAAGAAGAAAAACACAUGCCUCUUUUCUCGAAAUAUAGAUGAGUGUUGCCAUAAAACAAAUAUGCAAAUAAGUAUGUACAAACUUAAGUAUUUUUUACCAAAAAAAACAUAAGUUUUUUGGUCAAUUAUUUAUAAUAAAAGAUUUUCUAGUUCAUAUCAUUGUGGAGGAUGGGCUUUAAAAAGUAUUAAAAAGAUAUUUAAGAAAUGAAAAAUAAAUGGCAGUAGAAAAAAAGAAAAAAGAAAAAUAAAUGAUGGCAAAUAUAUCUAAUGAAGAGGAGGAUUUAACAAGAUUUAUGAAAAACUAUAAAACGUUAUAUAGUGUGUAAAAAGGUAAUAAAUAAGUAAUUUUUAAAAUUAGUGAAAUUUAUAAUAAUAAUUUUUAAAAUUAAGAUUAAAUUCUAUUAUAAUUAUAAGAGGAUAAUAUAAAUCAAUUCUUAAGAAAUUAUCAGAAUUGGCAAUGGAUUCUGUGUAUUAUAAUUAUAAGAGGAUAAUAUGAUUCAUUUAGAUUCAGUCAGCGACUCUAAAAAAUUAUACUUUACAACAACAUAAUAAAUCAUAAGAAUUGGCAAUGGAUUCUGUCUACCGAAAGAUGUGGGGUGAAUUCAUAUGACGAAAUAAGUGGUGCAAUUUCGUAAUAAUCGAAAGAUAUGGGGACUAAAUCUUAAAUAGAAACGUUAACUUGAUCACAACGGCUAUAAUUAGUUACUAAUCACAGUAAUUAAACCACUAAACUCAAAAGAAAAAUGGAAACAACAAAAAGCCCUACCCUCUUUCCUUAAAGAGAAGGCAACUUUUUUCUGCAUUAUUCGAUCAGCGGCUCUCCAUCUUUCUAAUUUCCUUGUUCCUCACGACUUCAUUCUCAGAGCUUUCGAGUCUUUCGGUUCCAUUACAAUGACUAUGUACGAUCUCACGGAUUCAGGGAAGGAUAUGUGUUCGAGUCUUUGUUUACUGGCCGAAGUUGCGGUUAUGGUUGCGGAAGAAGAACAAUUUCGUCGUCUUCUAAAGACUGUCUCUAAAGAAGAAGAUAGCGACAAGAGUUUCUUCUAUCGUUUCCCGAGAAAAAUCAGAUCGUCUUUGGUGAAGAGAAGAUACACGCAGCAAAACCCUAACGGGGCUUCUACUUCUUCAGCGGUUCUCGAUCUGAACCUAAUCACCACUGAUUACGACUUGAAAACCCAACAAAACCCUAGUUUUGAUGAGCCGUUAGUUGGUGUAUAAUGGGGCUUCUGCGUCUUCAUCGUUCUUGAACCUUCGUUGUUAUGAUCCUUCGUUACCCUUGGAUUACAACACGGCUAAGUUGGGGAAGACAGAGAAGAAAAACCUAACAAACCCUAAUUACCAAUCUUCAUCUUCGUCUUCAUGCCUAACGGAGAACAAAAGCCGCAAGAGGCGUGCCGUGCAGCAGAGGAAGAGUGGUAAACUCAAGAAAGCGAGGGUUGUUUCUUUGCCAAGGAUGUCUAUAGAGACGCCAGAGUGGGUUUUCCAGGUGAUGAGAUACAUGAACGCUGAUGCUGAAACCCCGAGGCUGAUAUUUGAGAGGACUCUGUUCAAUAGUGAUGUCAAAUCAGGCCUGAGCCGUCUCUUAAUCCCUUUCCAGCAGCUAAUCAGAAACGACUUCUUGACGCCUGCGGAGUGUAGAGCCAUACAGAAAGACGAAGACAACGAAGAUGACAAGAAUAUUGGUGUGGGAACGAUUCUUGUGAACCAAAGAUCUAAAAUGUGGGGUUUGCGUUUCAAGAUAUGGGCGAUGGAGAAGGACUCUGGACACGGAACAUUGAAUUACAUUUUGAAUUGGGGUUGGAACGAUGUAGUCAAAGGUAACGGCUUAAAGGCUGGCGACAAUAUCAGUCUUUGGACUUUCAGGUGCCGUGGAGUCCUCUGCUUUCCUCUUGAGACAUAGUAGCUCUCUGAUAUUUUCAUUUGUCUCUUGAGGUUUCAUUUAUAUAGUUUCAAGUGAUUCUUGAGGUUUUUGCCUUUUUAGCAUAGUAGUAACUUGUUGGAAGUGUUAAGUAACUUGUCUGUCUCCUCUGUUGUCUCAGUUCUUUAUCAUUGUUUGAAAAUAAACUAUUUUGUCAUAAGUAUGGUUUGUUGUUUUGUCUACUUAAGUUACUGCAUUGUUCAAUAUACCUUUGUGUUAUCUCAGAUCUCUCCUCUAAACCUGUUGCAAUGAUGGAAAUGGUCUAUUCCUGCAAGAGUUUUGGUACAUUCCUCCGAAAUGCUCGAUUUAGAACCAAAAACAAUCAAAAAAUGUCAGAGAAAAAGCAAGUUUUGGUAACAAGGAUUUAUCUACGCAUUGAUAAUAUCGACAAGUUAGUUUACUCAUAUUAACACCAAAUCAUAUUGUUUCUGUCGAAAGCUUAAGCUUCUCCAAGAUCUCCCCAUCUCACAUUGUACUUAGAUGCAAGGUAAUGUGCACCAACAGGACCUCUGCUUCCAUAUGGAUAGAGCUCAGGAAUGAUUUUCUUCUCCUCUAGUUCCUUCAAAGCCGGUGUGAAUAGAUCCCAUGCUGCAUCUAGCUCAUCACUUCUGAUAAACAACCUCCUCUCUCCUUCGAUUGCAUCGAGAAGCAGUCUUUCAUAUGCAUCUGGUAUCUCUCUUGGAUACCUAUCAACCCCAAAAGAAUAUAAAUAAAUAAUCUCUAUAGGAAAACUAGAAUCAGUAGUAUGCAUUGUUGUACCUGGAUCGAUAUAGAAGGUUAAGGUCGCUGCGAUCUAGUCUCAUUCCAAGACCAGGAACUUUGUUGUUGAUCCUCAGGUAUAUCCCUUCAUCAGGCUGAACUCUAAUCACUAGUUCAUUUGUUGCAUUGUCUAAAUUAGUAGCAAAACUUUUCUUGUACAAGUUUCCUGGGACAUGUCUGAACUGAACUCUGAUCUCUGCUCCUCUGGUAUGGAGAGCUUUUCCAGCUUUCAUAAGAAAAGGAACACCGUCCCAUCUCGCAUUGUUGAUGAACAUGGCUGCUGCAGCAAAUGUAGGAGUGAGACUGUGAUUUGGAACCGUUGGAUCGUCUGUAUAACCUGGAUAAGUUUUUCCUCCCUUGUUAUGGCCUUUGUAUUGACCAACAACCACAUCUUCAAGCCGCAACGGUUUCAUUGAUCUCAAAACUUUCACCUUACAGGAACACAUAAUCAUCGGUAUAGUAUUUUAUAACCAACCUAAAGCUUUUCUUCUUAGUGAAAAAAGUCUUACCUUUUCACUUCUUAUGUCCUCAGCAUCUAAGCUCACUGGCGUCUCCAUUGCAAAAAGUGCAAGUAUUUGCAAGAGAUGGUUUUGCAUGAUGUCUCGUAUGAUUCCAUAUUGAUCAAAGUAACUGCAUCGAUUUAACAUUAGUAAGGUGUUCAGUGUCAUACUGAUCAAAGGUGUUCAGUGUUCAUGCUUUGUAAGUUGUUUAUGAAAGCUUACCCUCCACGCCCUUCUGUUCCGAAAUCCUCAGAAAAAAUCAGCUGAACGUUGCGUAUGUAAUUUCUUGACCACAGAGGCUCGAAAACAAGAUUUGAGAAUCGGAGCACUGAAAGGUUCUCAACAAGCUCCUUUCCCAAAUAGUGAUCAAUCCUACGUAUGUCACAUAACAUUGCAGUUAAGUUCCAGCUUAAAAAUGAAUGGCAGUGAUGGCUGUUGGGCUAAGGAAAUGGCUAACCUGAAGAUUUGCUCCUCUGUAAGAUACUGUUUCAGACAUCUAGUUAACUCUCCGGAUGAUUCAGAGUCACGACCAAAUGGCUUUUCCACAAUGACCCUUGUCCAGCCAUUCUCUGAGGAGGCUCUAAGACUUGCACACCUAACCACAUCAACGAAUAUGUUUGGGGGUAUCGACAAAUAGUACAGCCUGUUUGAUAUCUUUCCUGCCUACAAAGCAGAAAGGAAUUAGAAAUGUGCUUCGUGCCAUUGGUACAAGAAAUAAGCAUAGAGAGAGUGAAAGAAAAUUACCUCUUUCUCUUUGAGCUUCUUGUUUAGUUCCGCAAAAUCCUCUUCCGAGUUAUACUGACCCGAAUGGUAAAAGCAUCUUUUCAAGAACUGCUCCAUCUUAUCCCCACAUUUUUCCCUGUUGAUUCCAACUUUUGUUCAUAUAACCAAAGCAUAAACUUUAACUAAAACAUACACUAAAAACGUAUAGCAGAAUAUACCUCUGAUCAAUCCGGCAAGUUAAAGUACUACUAAUCAUGUCACGAAGCUCUUCAUGAGUGAGUUUAGUCCGAGCAUAACCAAAAACAGAAAAGUCCUGAGGAAGACAACCCUCAUAAAAGAGAGCAAACAAUGCAGGAAAUAUCUUCUUCUUGGCUAAGUCCCCUGACGCUCCAACAACUGUAAUACUAAGAGUAGACUCUCCUUUUGUAACAUGUUCCUCUGUAAGUUGAUCUCCAGCUGAAACAAUUUGGUAAAAACCAUCCUCCAAAGAAUCAAAAACACAAACAAAAGCUACAAAACUACUUCAAUUCAUAAAAAGAGAGACUUUAUCAACCAAAUUGCUAAACCAAACCCUCACUACCUCACAAUCACUCUAAUCUACUACAUUCAAUCCUAGAAUACUCAAAGACAUAAUCCUUAGAUGAGAAAUGGUAUCCUUGAGUACAAAAGAUACAAUCUUGAACUACUUUCUUCAAUCGUCAAAAACACAGACAGAGGCUACAAAACUACUUCAGUUCAUAAAGAAAGAGACUUUAUUAACCAAAUUCCAAAACCAAACCCUUACUCAUUGCUAUCUAACCAACUCACAAUCACUCUAAUCUUCUACAUUCAAUCCUAGAAUACUCAAAGACAUAAACUUUACAAUCAAAGAUGGUAUCUUUGAGUAUAAAAGGUCAUAAAGAUACAAUCUUGAACAACUUUCUUCAAUAGACAUAAAACUGUUACAAUCCUAACAACACAAUCAACGACAGGUACAAGAAACUUCAUCAAGAAUUCUAUCAAAAACUAAUCUAGUCACAUAGAAACUGGAGAAGAAACUCACAAUCUUGUAAAGAAGCGAAAUUAGUGGCACACCCAUUUGAAGUAUCAAGCUGAGAAUGUUUCUCGGCGAAGAAUCUCAAGCGAACCUGAGAAAACAAGGAUUUUCUCGGGAAUGUGAGAGAUCUACUAAAGAGUGGUAGAGUCUCUUUAAACGGAGACGCAGCAGUAGCGAGAGACGAGGAAGAAGAAGAAGGAGAAGGAAUGAUCAUAGAAUGUGUCGCCAUGCAAAUUUUCUUGGAGCGUCAAAACAAAUGUGAUGAUGAUGAUGAUGCCAUUGUUUUUUGCCUUAUGAGGCUAUUUGUAUCGUCUCUUACAUUAUCCACAACAGUAGUUUUAUUAUAUAGUUUUCGAUAUUUCUUAUCUCUCACAUUAUCCACAUAUCUUAUUUGUCAAAAAAGUUUUAUUUUUCUUUGCAUAAAUUCUUUUUUUCUCAAGAAAGUAAACCGUAUUAACAUCCAUCUCUGGUAUAGCUUAACCGGAUUAUUCCAUUCGAACGACCACAAUUCGCUGGAAAGGUGAUUUUGGUUUAGCAGUAAAUUUCAUACUUUAUUCAUUUUAGUACUCUCUUAUGCACACUUUAUUAAUUUACUAGGUGAAUAUCCGGGAUUUUUCGUAAAUGUUUUACUUAUAACAACAACAAAGGAAAGUUGUUUUAUGUUAUCUCUUUCUAGCCUUUUUGGCUUUUUCUAAAUAUACUGCAUAAGCUGACUUCUCUGAUUAACAAAGACUCCAAUUUAGCAUGAUGAAUAAUGAGCAUCAUUUAUACAAAUAUUAUUUCUAAGAUUCUAUUUUCACCUAAUUUAACCACAUUUUGUAGAAUUACUUACAAUAAAAAUUUAAAAAACCUAUUCAUUUUGUUUAAAAUAUUUUACUUAAUUAAAAUUUUAUCAUUAAUCUUUCUGUCAUUUACUUUUUGAGUAUUAUUGAUUUUUAUAAAUCAUAUCAAAAAAGUUCAAAAUAUUUUUAAUCUAAAAAAAACAAAGUAUAAGAAAAAUUUUAAUGCCUAAAACUUAUGAAUACUUAAACUUUUUCACAUUUAUUUAACUACUUUAACUAUCUUAAAAUUACAUACAAACUUAUUAAAUAGUACACAUGCUUGACGACAUUAAAAUAUAUUCUCCUACUAAAUAUACAACAAUCACCCAAAAUAAUAAAACACAGGUUGAAUCCUAGUCAUUAUUUAGAAUGAUCAUCUCUUGUGUCCCUUUUGUGGGACAACUAAUCUGCAAAACCACUUUAGAGUCUUCCUAUCUCCUUUGAGUUAAUGAAUUGUGUUAAGACGAAUUUACCCCUGUAUUUUAUUUUGAAUGAAUAAUUAAUAUUUCUAGAAAACAUUUUGAAAAAAAAAAAAACGGAAAAAAAAAAAAAGCUCGAGCUCGUUCUUCUUCGGGCUUCUUCCUCCGGCGAGCCGCAUUGUCGUUUUUCUCCUCCUGCAAGCUGCAUCAAUCUACUAAGUCCAGGUAUGGAGAGAGCUUCAAAAGCUUUGAAUUACAUAUUUUGAGGAUUUUGAAAUUCAAUCAAAUUAGAUUUGGAUUAUUGUGUUUUAGCACCUACAUUAGAAGUUUAAGUAUAGAUUUAGGCUUCAUUUGGUCUGUUAAUGGGUAAGCAAUUGAUUUCACAUGCUGAUUCAUACUAAAUUGAACUCAAAUCGAAUAUUUGUUCUUGUCGCGAAAAUAAUACUGGUCGCACUAACUAUAGUAGUACCGUAAUUUAUAUAGAUAGUAUGUUUUAAUAGCACCAAUAUUACUUAGACACGUAGUAUUUCAUAUAUGUAAUAGUAUUACUCACACAUGUAAUAUUUCAGAAUUAGUAAUAGUAUUACUGAAAAUGUACUAGAAUCGAUAAUACUAGUAAUAUUGACUGAGUAUGUGUAUUGUUUUGGCAGGUUACAAUGAAAGAGAACGUGAUCAUAUAUUUUAAAUUCCAAGGUCGCAUGUAUAAUGUGAUGAUGAAGACAUUAGGGGAGAAGAUUACUCUCUCAAUGUUAGAAGAUAGGAUAAUGACGAAGCUUGGAUUAGAUGCAAAUAAGGUAAAAUUGCAUAUGAGGUACAAUCCACGGUUGUUCGGAGUAGAGGAAGAAAUGAACGUUUGUGAUGAUGAGGAUGUCUUUGUUUAUGUAACAUCCGCAAAAAAUAACUGAAGAAGUGUUUUGGUUGUGGAGGAGAUCUCUAAACCGCCCGAGCCGGAGCAAUUGCCCGAGCAAUUGUCUAGAGUUGGUAAAAGUUCUGUUGGUAAGAACUAUACAGAGGAGGAUGAAAUGAGAGUGGAUGAUGGUGCACUCAUCGUCUUAUUAGAAGAGGAACAAGGAACUCAACAUCAACUUGAGGCAAUAGUGGAGGAUCACGGGACUCAACAUCAACUUGAGGCAAUAGUGGAGGAUCACGGAACUCAACAUCAACUUGAGGCAAUAGUGGAGGAUCACGAGACUCAAGAAGAUGAAACACGCUAUGAUGAGUCUAUGGAUGAUUCUGAUAGGGGGGAACAGUAUGUUGAGUCGCCACCUGUUGUAGAACCGGGUAUGUUUAAGAAAGAAUGGGAAGACGGAAUUGGGUUGACCUUACGUCAAGAAUUUCCAAACAAGGCGGCAUUGCACGAGGUGGUGGAUAGAGCUGUAUUUGCUACCAUUUUUGGUUAUGUGAUUAAGAAGUCGGAUAAGGAGCGCUAUGUCCUAAAGUGUGCCAAAGAGAGCUGUUCUUGGCGUUUACGAGCGUCCAAUAUCAGUAAUAUUGAUAUAUUCUCGAUUAGAAGGUAUAAUAAGAUGCAUAGUUGCACUCGGCUAAGUAAAGGUAGUAGUAGGCUCAGGAAAAAAAAAGGCAACCCACAAUUAGUCGCAGCUCUCCUUCAUGAUCAUUUUUCGGGACAGUUGGAAACUCCGGUUCCAAGAAUUAUCAUGGAGCUAGUUCAGACGAAAUUAGGUGUGAAAGUAUCAUACUCGACAGCGCUAAGGGGGAAAUAUCAUGCGAUUUAUGAUUUAAAAGGUAGCCCGGAAAAAAGCUACAAGGAUAUCAAUUGUUAUUUAUACAUGUUGAAGAAGGUAAAUGAUGGUACAGUUACUUAUCUGAAAUUGGAUGAGAAUGAUAAAUUUCAGUACAUAUUCGUAGCUUUGGGAGCUAGCAUUGAAGGUUUUAGAGUGAUGAGGAAAGUUUUAAUUGUGGAUGCAACACAUUUGAAGAACGGAUAUGGCGGAGUGCUAGUGUUUGCCUCGGCUCAAGAUCCUAACCGUCACCAUUACAUCAUAGCGUUUGCCGUACUCGACGGUGAGAAUGAUGCUAGUUGGGAGUGGUUUUUCGAGAAGCUAAAAACGGUUGUACCCGAUACUUCAGAAUUGGUUUUCAUGACGGACAGAAAUGCAAGCCUCAUAAAGGCCAUACGGAACGUGUAUACCGCGGCUCAUCACGGGUAUUGUAUUUGGCAUUUGUCCCAAAAUGUGAAAGGUCAUGCUACUCACACCAACCGAGAUGUACUCGCAUGGAAGUUUCAGGAGUUAAGUCGGGUCUACGUCGUGGCAGACUUCAACCGAGCGUAUGACGGGUUUAAGUUGAGAUAUCCUAAGGCGACCAAGUAUUUGGAGGAUACAACCGUGAAAGAAAAAUGGGCAAGGUGUUGUUUUCCCGGAGAAAGAUACAACUUAGACACAAGCAAUUGUGUGGAAUCUUUGAACAAUGUGUUUAAAAACGCAAGGAAAUACUCGUUAAUACCAAUGCUUGAUGCGAUCAUCAAAAAAAUCUCCGUUUGGUUUAAUGAACAUCGGAUGGAAGCCGCGUCUGGAUCCUUAGAAAAUAAGAUGGUGCCUUUGGUCGAGAAUUAUUUGCAUGAUUUGUGGGUUUUUGCCGAGAAGCUAAAAGUGGUGGAACUAAACUCAUUCGAGCGUGAAUAUGUAGUCACAUGCGACAAAGGAAUAGAUUAUACGGUGAGCUUGCUUUUGAAAACUUGCAGUUGCAAGGUUUUCGAUAUCCAAAAAUAUCCUUGUAUUCAUGCAUUAGCCGCUUUCAUUAACAUUAUGGAUGAUGAAGAUCGGAGAAGAGGUUUGGAGUAACAUGAUUUGGUUACAAAAUAUUAUUGGGCGGAGUUGUGGGCAUUGGCCUAUUAUAGGACUAUUUAUCUUGUUCCGGAUAGGUCGCAGUGGGAAGUACCAGAUGAAGUAAAGGCGUUGAAGAUAGUUCCGCUGUCUAAAAAACCGAAGAAAGGAAGCAAAAAAAUGCUAAGGUUUCCAUCAACCGGGGAAAAGCGGCCAAAACGACAAAGGACGCAAAACAAAAGGCGUCCAAGGCAAUCGUGUCAAUGGUUAUUAUUUGGGAAUACGCCUAUCUGAGUUUUUUACUUUGUUUUUGCAGUGAUUUGUUGUUUUUAUGGUAUGGACUUACUAUGUAAUACUGUAUUUCCCCUUCUAUAGUACUAUGUCUGUUUCUAUUGUUUUUUUGUAAUACUGGUUAUAACAAGUAAUAUCAUGUCUGUUUCUGUCGAAUUUGUGGUCAUAUUAGUACUACUGGUAAUACUAAGUUGGUGUUAUGGAGUUCGAAUUUGUUUACCUCAAAAGUCAAUGAAAAUGAAUACAGUGAGUUAUUAACAGAUAAAAAUGUAUUAUUAAUCAUUUAUACUUAAUUAAAUUAGAAAUUUUAAUAUUAAAUCGUUUUAACUUAUCUUUAGUAGACUCAAUACAACAUUUCCCUUAUACUUUUAAGCUCACUUUUAAUAUUAUCACCAACUUAAAAUGAAAAAUUCAUAUUGCUACAUAUAUUUAAUUUAUAAUUACACAAAAUAUUUAAACCUCUAUAUUUAUAAAGUUCAAUCCAGUGUACUACUAAAUAAAUAAAUUAUAAAUAUAGGAAAUACUGCUAAACAUGAAAAACAUGGAAAGUAAUACUAUUUGAGAAAUUGGCACUACCAAAACCUUAGGAAAUACUAUGCUGUAAAAAGGCUGCGCACAUGUCAAAAAUCUCCAAAAAACGGCGCACACGUGGGAAAUUAAUUUUUUUGGUUUUCCUCCAAAUUUUUUGGCGCCUAACAAAUUUUGAGAUUCCCUCCAAAACCAAAAAUUUAACUUUUUUCUUUUUCCUCUUUCUUUUUCGAUCUCUUCUUACAACUUUCUUUCAUCUCUCAUCUCUCUUCUCCCACAUCUAUCAUCUCUCUCUUCGACUCGAAUUCUCUCACAUCUCUAAUCUCUCUUUCAUCUUUCUACCAUGGAUAGACUGUGUGAGAGAGACCCCUACUACGUUGAUAUAAAAGUGGCGAAGAGAGCCAUUGAGCAAAUGGAAAUGGUUGCGAUGAUGGAAGGGAUUCCUAAGUUUUGUCCAUGUGGUGGUAGCAUUGUCGACACUCGAAAGGAUGAAAAGAGAUACUAUCAAUGCGAGAAGUUUAAGGUAUGUUGAUGUAGAGCACAAGUAUUUCAAGUUUGUGUAGAUCUAGAUCUAGAUAUAUUUGGUAUUCCAGAGUAUUUCCCGUUUUGGUAAUACUGCCUAGAACAAGUAAUACUGCACAAGUUUUUCUAGUUUUUGUAGAUCUAGAUCUAUAUUUGAUAAAUAUUUGGUACUUUGUAGGAUAAUAGAACUGAUUGUAUGCACAUCCGUAAACUUUGGGAUAAGGCUAUAGAAGAAGAGGUGAGUAGCUUAAGGGAGAGUGUUGAUUACAAUCAGAAUAAAGUUCUAAGUCAUGAGUAUCUCAUAGAAGAAAUGCAAAAAGAAUUGAAAGCCCACCGUGCAGAGAUUGUGAACGUGAGCAAAGUGGUAUUCCGUAAUCCUAUGGCUCCCAAGAAGUAAUGUGUUAUCCUAUUGUUCCUUAAUCUUAUUGUUAAUUUGCUUGUAAGACUUUCCCUAUGCUUUAUAAGACUUUCCGUAUGCUUUGUAAGACUUUCCCUUCGAUUGUAAGACUUCUCUUUGAUUGGUAAUACUAUGGUUGUUCAGUUUGAUAUUUCCAGUAUAUCUCUUAGUAGUAAUAGCACGAGGUAUUUCCCGUAUUAUUGUUAACAAUAUCAUAAAAUAUCCUAAUACAUUAAUUGAAUCCAAACAUAGUCUUACGAGUACUUGCGAAAUCCUAAAACAAAGUCAAAGUACAAGAAAUCAAAAUACAAAUCCGGAGAAGUUACACGAAUAGUUUUCACACGUCACUAGACUUUGCACGGGUUGAACGGCUCACUCGUUUGGGCACAACAGGAGCAGCCGCAUUUUCCUUGAUUGUUGAUUCCUCCUCAUCUGGUGGGUUCUGAGACAUCUGCAUUGUUAAUUUAGUUAAACCUUGGUAUUACGCGAUAUUACCAAUUAUGGAACAGUAUAUCCGGUAUUACCCAGAUUUACCUUGGCUUUCAUCUCAUCCAUAAAUGCUUCGAACGUUGCUUGUUUUUCCUCCAUUUCCAUAAGCGCCAACAAAGCUUCAUUCAGCUUGUCAUUGAUGGAAUGAAGCUUCUCCAUUACAUCAACUAACGUCGGGUCUCCCGGUCCAACAGCUGUGGGAACUUCCUCUUCAUUUGGGGCUUCCAUUCGUGCCUGCACAUCCUCGUUGUACACCUCUUCAAAUCUAAUUUAACGCCCUUGACCAAGACGCUUCAUCCAACUAUCAAUUACAACAUCGUGCUUAUCAACAUCAUCCUCUACUCCCGUGAUUUCAGCCAAAAGAGGUACUUCUUCAGCCUUCUCUCUAAUUAUACUCUCAAUGACCUAUGGAAAUAAUAGACAAUGAAAUAUUAGAAAGAAAUAAAAUCAUAUUUGCUCAAGGAAUAAUAGGAAAUACUAACCUCAGUUGUUCCGAGUACAUGGUUGAUUUGCUCAAGGGUAAACCCUUUCAUCUCGGUCCUCUUGAAAUUCACCUUGCACAUCCUUGGACAACCGGCAUGUGCACCAUCUUUUUCUUCUAUGAAUCUUUCCCUAAGUGAUGGAAUGGCCUCAAAUGCUAAAAGCUACACAAAACACAUGAAAUUUAAUUGUUAGCUUCAAUUACGAAAAUGUAACAAGGAUAAACAUGUGACUUACCUCAAGCGGCACACAGAAUCCGGGAACAGGCCAUGGUGACUGAGUGUUCGGGACGACACCGUUAAAAUGAUCCAAUGUGUGUGAGAUCGAUUUUAACAUGUACUCAAAUGAAUAUCUCCCCCAUGGAAAUGUCUUACAAAACGUAAGAUCACUUGCAGCCCUAACACAGAAAUCAUCAAUUGGACUAGCCCUUUCUCCAGUCUUAGUAGGCACGGCAAUGAUGCUUGUUAGAAAAUAGAGGACCGCCAUCCGCAACCUAUCCUUUGAUCUAGCCGGUUCCAUCUCCAUUAGCUUGGUUUUCACGUCUUCACGUCUAAUUACCCCGGUUUUGAAGUACCUGUUGGCGAAGUUCAUAUUACCAGCGCUCUGAUAAUUAGCUGGAUGGGCCUUGCAGUUGAAACUAAAGAUCAAAGCAUGCUCCCUAAUACCAUAGCGGAUGGGAACUCCAUUAACAACGAACCAAACCUCCUUCUUCUUCUCAAUAGAUGCCGUUUGAAGAAAAAACAUCCACAUCCCCAUUAACUUGUGGGUAUAUCCGAAAGGCAGGUGGUAGAUGUGCUUGAAACUCGGAUGCUCCAUAAAAUAAUUCUUCUCAACAUGCGUUAGAGGAUGUUCCAAGUCAGCGAAGGUCUUCAACACCUCCGAGAUAUAACACCUCGUUGCUAACUUCAUCUUCUUGGUAUACUCCGACGCCGGGAAGUACAUACCAAGUGGCUGCAUUGCCAUCGCUUCCUCCAUAUCCUGAAAAAAAAAAACAUUCAUUCAUAUAUCACUCAAUUGUAAAUAGUACUGCACAGUAUUACUCUGUAUUUCUCAGAAGUAUUCCCCGUAAUUACCAGUAUUACACAGAUACUCCUAUUUUACUAUGUAGUAUUUCUCAAAGUUACUAGUACUAACUAUCGAUAAAUCACAAUUAUAGUAUUACUCUAAGGUAUUACCCACAUCCGCCAAUAUUACCUAAAUAUCAACAUAGCAUUUCCCAAUGUUACUAGUACUGUCCACAGUUCACAAUUGCAUUAUUACCCAAUUAGAUCGGUAUUACGAAAUGGAAUACUUACCACAUUUGCGAUGUCCUCGUCUAUGGUCCUCUCCUCCACGGGUUUUGCCACUAUCACGUCCUUGUCUCUCUCGUCCUCGUUUCCCUCCUCCUCCACGGACUUUUCCACAUUGACGUCCUCGUCGCUCGCGGAGCUCCUCUCCUCCUCCUCCUCGAUAACGGCUAGGCCGUCAUCUUGUCUCUCCACCUCUUCCACGGGAUUAGCACACGCGAGUUCUUUGUUUGUCUCCGUCUCCUCUGAAUCGGAAUCGGAGCCCAAGGUUCGGCUACUCUUCCCUGAUUCUUCUUCUUCACUUGCUUCUUCUUUUUCAUUUUCAUCUUCCACCUCAUCAGUUUGCAUAUUCUCUUGAAUUUCUUCAGUAGGAAUAUGCUUCAAAGCAUCAUAAAACGUAGAAUCAUCAAGCAUCGGGCUCUCUGUCGUUGGAGCCGUCGUUGGAGCCGUUGUCGUUGGAGCCGCUGUCGUUGGAGCCGCAUUGGUUGCCAUCGCCGUCGCAGUCGUUUGUGCCGGCGCCUGCUCCUCAGCCGGCACUUUCUCUUUAUCUUUCUUCGCCGACGCCUGAACCUUCGCUUUCUUCGCCGGCACCUUCUCCUUCACUUUCUCCGCCGACGCCUUAACUUUCUCUUUCUUCAUCGGCGCCGACGCUUCUAUCUCCUUUCUUUUCCCUACCUCCUCCACGCGUCUUAGGCGGCAUGACUGAUUUCGAAUCGGAAAUAGAACGGAAAUACUGGUGAAAGGAAGAAGAACGGUCGAUUGAAUUUAAAGAAAUAUGGAAUGUUGCGGUUAAUUUCAGCGGUUACUAAGGAGAAGAAGAAGAAAAAUCGAAAACGGUUGUAAUGAGAAAAAGAAUGAAAUUCGAAUAAAGAGUAAAGGUUCCCUAGGCCCUGGAAAUAUUAGGUUUUUUUUUGGAUUUUCAAAUAAAGAGUAAAGGUGGUUCGGGUGGUUUGGUUCGGAAACGAACCAUGGUUUUUCUGGUAAUUAAUAGGUUCAGAUGGGGAUAUACUAGUAAUAUCCAUAUAUUUCAAAUUAAAAAAUAAAUAAAUUAUUUUUGUUUUUUACAAGGAUUUUUUGGCUUCCUCUUUGAAAAAAAGGGACUGGCCAGACGACCAUCAUAACUACAACAUAUUUAUAAACACAACAACAAAAAUGAAACUUGAUAAUGUUGUAAUACGAACAAGAAUCGAAGUUAUUUUCAGCACAUUCUUCGAUUUUUUUUCCUGGAAAACCGAAACCAACUCAACAUAACCCAUUGAAACAUUUUGUACCUGGCAGGCACUUGGUAGCAAUGCCUUUGUGUGUUUUAAGUCUGGUUUGAGAGGACCACUGUGGAAGAAAUGUCUUGGGCAGAGUUGAAUUGGGUUUGACCUGAAGAAAGAGAAGAAGAGUCGUUAAAAAGAGAUCUUUGGAUUUUCUUUAGUUCUUUGACAACUUCCACCAUCGUUGGAACUUCUUCACUAGGACCCAUGCAUCUCAGUGACAACAUUCGGAAAGCUUUCAUUUGACAAAGCUCUUCUUCGGAAAUUUGACCCAUCUUUUCUAUCAUCUUUGGAUCUGCAAUCUCUUCCAUUGAUCGGUCUUCCUUUAAUGUUGACAGCAAAUUUCGAGCAUGUCUUUUCAUCUUCCUGUCAAAUCCACCUUCACUUUCUUCUUCUUCUUCUCCUCGAUAAUGCUCGAAAAAGCUUUCCUAAUAGAAGCCUUAUACCCAUAAACAUUCCAAAGCCAAAGACAUCUGUUCUCUCUGAGACUACGCCACUGCUAAUGUAAUUAUCGGCAAAGUAACUAUAGAAUCCCUCUGCUGCCUCAACCUGGACAAAUGUGUCUCCUUCUGGAAUUCAGACGCAGUGAGAAAAAUCAGUCAGCUUCGCGACCCCAUCUUCAUCCAAUAAAAUAUUCCAAUGAGACAAAAUCCUAUAUACAAAGAGCCUAGGGAACGCAGUGUGAAGGUAAGCUAAAGCAGUAGCAAUAUCUUCAACUAUCUUCAUUCUCCUUUUCCAUGGAUGUUCACUUAUUUCUAAUUUGUAAUGUUUCUUAACACCAUGAUAAACUUUGACUGAAUCUUCAAACUCAAGACAACAUCCAACCAAUUUCAAAAAGGUUUUGUGACCACUCACCAUCGAUGAAACUGCUAUGUCGCGGCUCAAAAGAUCUACUUUGAAGAGACUCGACAAGCCAAGAUCUUUCUUAAUGAGAAUCAUGGGAUGGUUCUCGUUCUUACCUGAAUACCAGUGGUAGUAAAAUUCUUUUCGAGAAACAAGAUUAGUCGCUGAAAUUGUUGGUGGCAUUGCGGAUCUCAUCACCAGAGAAGAAUUUGAUGGGAUUGGAUUUGCCAUGGCCGAAUUCGAUGAGCUCUUCUAACAACUUGGCCCCUCUCUUGGCCACUCUACCGGAAAGAAAGCUUUAUUUUUCACAUAACUCAAAAUCUAAGAAUUAACGGAAAGAAAGCUUUAUUUUUCAAUCAAGUGAGCAAAAGUUUCGAGACGACCUCACACUUUCUUGAUAACUAAAUUCUUGUUGAGUGUUGACUAUUCAACACAGAUGUCCUUCUGCGAAAAUCAGAAAUAAACAUUUUAAUGGAUUUUGUGGAAGUUAGAGUUGGAAGAAUUGAUAUCAUCCUAUUAUAAUAAAUCACCAGUCACUUCCCAAAUAACUGCAGCUCUAUAUAUUUGACACUUGUCCUAACUCCUAAGUCUCAAAUUCUAUUAUUUUACUUUCUUUUAUAUCCUAAUUUAUGACAAUUUUAUUAUAAUAAAUCACAAAUAACUUCUCAAAGAAUUGGCUCUAUACCUUUAACACUUGUCCUAAGUCUCAAUUUCUAUUAUUUUACCUUUUUUUUUUCUUUUUAUCCCAAUUUACGACAAUAAAAAAAAAAAAUGUUAUUCUUCCCCAUCUUCUCCACGAUCACUAUAAUAUCCAAGCAAACAAAAUACAAAAUUUUUAAAUCUCAAAACUACAAAUUAUAAUUGGUUAUUUUACAAUUGGAACAGCCAUUCAAGCAUCUUCAACGUCUCCUUUAAGUUUUUUUAACAAAAAUUCUCAAUCACAAAAAUCAUCAUCAUCGUCACCAAAUAAUUUUGCAAAAUAAAUUGUUACACUGAUUUGACCGCGUAAAGCGCAGGUUAUUAAACUAGUUUUAUGAUAUUAAGGUGAUUUUCUACGAUUUUUUGGCCAUGCUUUAGUUAUCAAUUCAAAAUUAUAAACGGUUGUCUUUUUUUUUUAACCGUUGUUAUUAAUUGUUUAGUGAAUGGUCUUCAAAAGCUCACACACUCGGCUGGGAUUAGAUCAUCAAUUAUUACUAUAAAUCAAUCGUUAAGAUUCUCGGUUGCUACCUUUUCCAAAUUAAGAAAAUAUGUUCCGUAAAUUUAUUCCUCUUCUCUUUUUACCAAAUAUUUUUCAGCUUUACUGAUACUGAGGUAAGCGAUUUUUUUCUUAUUUGAUAUAGCAUCUGUGUAGUAUAUGCUAAAAGAAUGACGAUUUUAGGCUGUGUUGUGUGAUUUUAGGAUUUUAUUGUUUGUGAGUUGAGUCUCAUGUAUUAAUAAAGUUAUGUGUAUUUAUUAUUAAUUCUGUUGUGUUUAUUAUUAAUUGUAUUAUGUGUUUAUAUCAUAUUGUAUUUAAAGGCUUUUUAAAUGUACUUCCUCCGUCCCAUUAAGAUAGAUUUUUAAAGAAAAAACUGUCCUACAAAGAUAGACAUUUUAUGUUUUCAAUACAAAAUUUAGAGUUUUUUUCAUAUUUUUCUCAUUCGUGAGACUGGUCUUCUCCAUUAACUAAAAGUACAUAUUCCAACAUUCUCCUUCCUCCAUGCACCGAGAUUAUAUAAGUACAACAUUUUGUGUCAUCAUUUUUUUUAUUUUCAAAACUAAAAGAAAAAUGUCUUCUUCUUCAAAUUCAUUAAGUCUUUGGGAAACGUGAAAAAGGAAGAAAAAAACAAAUGAAGAAGGAAGAAACACAUCGUGAAGUUUAUAUCAAUCAUGAGCUGGACUUGAACCAACUUUCUAUCGAAACCACUAUAUUAACCAUGCUCAAGAUAAUGUUUCCAAAAUAUUUUUAAAUUUGUGUAAGUUAUUUUAAGAAUAUGGCGUAAGCCUUUUUUUUCUUUGUAAGUUGGCUUAAGAUUUUUGUAGUCAUGAUUUUAAUUUUCUAGUUCUAAUACAAUGAUCAUGAUAAUGCUAUAUUUAUUCAGAUCUUAUUGUAAGAUUAAUAUUUUUGGUUUGAAAUCUAAACCUUUUAUUUCGGAGCAUAGAGGCAAAGCAAAGAAUAUUCUUAUUGAUAUACAUUAACAAUCAUUUCUUUUUUCAUGAACUAUUCAUUUUUUUGUGGUGAUAUUGAUCUUGUUUUAUGUGUGUGUAUUUUUAGAUGUUUUGACUAUUAAAUAUUGUAAGUCAAAAAUAAAUUCUCAUAAAACAAAAUAAUAAUAAUAAAUUCUAAAACAACAGAUACAAUCAUUGAAAUAAACUCGAUUGACCAAAUUCAAUUAGGAAAAAAACAAACACACAAAUCUAAACAUAACAUGUUCUAAAAUAAUAAACUUGCUAAAAAUUCCAUUACACCUCUCACCAAAAAUAGAUCACAAGAGAUUUGUAUAGGUAGACGACCUUCUCUUUCCAAUGAACCCUUCUUCAUAUGUAGAAUUUUGUACUUAUUUGAGCCUUUGGCUUUCAUGAUCUCUAACAUGCAAGAUUGCAAAGUUAAAAAGAUCUGAUUCACCUGUUUGCGGGGUAUUCGUCAAAUGAUGUCUCUGCCGCCGACACAAGUUCUUCUACCGUUGUUGGACAUACAUUGUGUUGUAGUGAUUGGAUAGCAUUAAAAAAUCCAAGAUCCAAUAUAUUCAAAUCCGGUGAAUUCAGUGGUUGACACAUCAAGCGUAUAUCAAACCCAAACUGUGAAGCAAUUGCUUGAAAUUGUGCAUCUCUCGUAUCCACAUGCGUUCUUGCAUUAUCUUGUUGAACGAAAAUAGUUUUCCCAAAAUCUUCUCUUGACCACUUUUCGCGAAUUUUUGAGAUCACUUUUUCAAUCAAGCAUCUCUUUAUAUCCUCUCUCUUGAUGGAGACCAUCGGUUUCAAUUCCAACAUUCCCGCUUCUCUAUUUAUGCUUCGUCGCUUAGACAAUGAAGCACAAACCAAGCCCGCUAGCAACUUAAACCCAAGUAAAACUUCAUUGGGUGUUGAUUGUUAAUUAUUAGGAAUUAAUUGUUAAAAUAUUAUAAGAUGUGUUGUGUGAUGUUAUGCGUUAGGUUGUUAGCGUGAUAUACAUGUUGAUUUGCUUGACGUCUUUAAGACGUAUUUUUAAAUAAAAAUAUAAAGAUAAAUAAAAGAGAAUAAUGAUAUUAAAGAAAGGAUAAGAUUGAGGAUGUUGGACUGUAAUGGAACUGACGGGUUUAUUACAGGUCAUUAAUCGCUGACGAGCAAUGAGAGGAAGGAUCGAGCUACGGGCCGUGGUCUUCCAUAAUUAGGCUUGAGGAGCCAUAAGUUAACGUAUGUUAAAAACUAAGAAAAGAAAGUAAAAGAUCUUGCGGUGAGCAAGACGGAAGCUUGUCUGUUAUAGCUUACUAGGAAAGUUUAAGCUAUAUGCUUGUUGUUUGAGUCUAUGCUUAUGAAAUAGAAAUUGUGUGAAAGUAUAAUCGUGUUAUUGUGAUUCGGUGGACAGUUUUGACUGCCUUCACUGAAUAAUUAAUUACUCACCCCCUUUUCUUUUCCCUCAGGUGAGGAAGAGAAUGUUGAGUAGCUGCUCGCUUGGUGUUAUUUCGGGGACUUUGGGUUUUAUUUGAUUUAUCGUUAUUUCUUAUAUUUCUAAACAUGGUUUCUUUAUUCAUUUUUAUCCAACGAUUUUAAUUUAUUUAUGCUAUUAUUUUGAGACAAUUUAUUUCUGAUUCUUAAUAAAAGAAAGUUUCCCAAAAUUUUGAUAUUUUAUUUCAAGAUUUGUUUUGAAGAAAUUGAAUAAAUGAAUGGAAAGGAUGAAAGUACGCCGUCUCAAGGUUGAGAGAGACGGGUAUUAUAGAGGGACACCUCUGAAGACACUUUACACCAAAUGAGUAGUCGUAUUCAUUAUUUAUAACUAAUAUAUUUAUAUCAAUAUUAUGAGAUGUCAUCAGUAGCGGAGGCAGAAUAGUUAGUCAUAGGAGUCAUAUUUUUUUCUAAGCCAAAUACAAAAAAAAAAGUUGAGAAAAAAUGACAAUAUCAUAGUUUAAAAAAAAAAAAAAAAAAAAAAAAAAAAAAAAGAAGAUAAAAUGAGAAAGAAAAAAAUUGUUCUGGUAAAGUAAACACUAAAACUAAGGUAAUUUAUAAUGUGUUAAACAAUAAUAAUGAGAUUAACCUAGUUUAAUGGACUUAUGUUUUUAUUUAUAAAAUUAAUUGGGUUAACAUGCUGUAGGUUUUAUUUUUUUAUUAGACUAUAUUUGGAUAUAUAUAUUUGAUGGGGGUUAAUAAUACUUUAGGAAAAGGGUCAAUCUAUAAAAAUUAACAAAAAAUAAACAUAUUUUCUAAAAUCCAUGGAGUCAAUUGACCUCCAUGGUUAAACACUCCCUCCGCCACUGGAUGUCAUUGAUAAUUUAUUUUCUACCAUAAAAGUUUUGUAACAAUUUAUAGCCACGAAGACUUUCACGUUUUCGCUCAAUUCUCAAUAUUUCAGUUUUAUAUUAUUCUGAUUUUGGGUCCAAAUGAAAUUUAAGAUCACAAUUUAUGGUGUUACAAUUGACUUCUAGGUGUAGUUUUCAAAUAAAUUUGGAAAGUGUUUCACUUAAAUACCAAAGAAACGUACAUGCAUGAUGUUUUGAAUUCCUUCUUUUAUCAAACAUGUUCAGCUUGUCAUUAAAUUCAUUGAAAAGUUCACGUAUCCUUUUAUGUAUUUAAAGUUUAAUUUAUUUAAAAGUAAAUAAGUAAUGUUAAAAUUGUCAUUAUAUAUUAUCUCUUAAAUAACGUAAAAUUUCUAAAAAUUCAUAUUUGUGGGACGGAAGAAGUUUUUUUUUAUAAUAAUAAUUGUUUUUAUUUUCUUAUUUCAAAAUUUUUACUAAGAACAUAAAUAACUAAAAAUAGUUAUUAAAAAUUAUGUCAAUUUUUGUUAAGUUAGUUUAAUUAUAGUUGAUAUUUUAACAAUUUAUCUACAGUUAUUAUUAAUAUGCAAUCACAAAAAUAUAAAUAUAUAAAAAAAUAUAAAAUUGUAAAAUAAUUAAGAUAGAGUGUUGAAUUUUAUUAAACAAAACUAGUGUAAUGUUUUAAAAAGUAAGUGGGUGUUGAAUGAUAAUGUGGAAGAAAUAGAAAAUGAUGUGGAGUCUUAAAAAAUGAAGCUUGAAAAUAUUCUAACGGAAUGUAAGAGUAAGACCAUCUUCUGUUAAAGUUUGGUUGUUUGUUGUUAGCUUCCAGCAUCUUCCGGCACAUCUACAAGUAAAAAAUAGAAUGUUUACGAUUAAGUUAGGUUUCAUCUCUUAUUAAAAGAAAUGACCUUUAGAGAUAAAGUAAAAAAACGGUAAUGUUAUUAAGUACCAACAAAUAUCACCUGUUCAUCGGCCAACACCAACUCAAGCUUCUCGCUGGUACUCAUGGUAUAUUAGCACCACAAUUAUAGGAUUUAUACUUGCACUCAGCCACGCAGUUUUGUAUGGGUGUAAGUCCAGAUAAACGAAAGAAGCAACCAUAAAAAUGAUAAAUGUUUGUUUGUUGGUUAUAUGCAAUAGUUGCUUUCAGAUUUGGUGAUGUUAGAAGAUGCAAAUGAUGGGAUUAUUUAUAGUGGUUUAGAAGUCGAUAGGGGAUGGACAUGAGUUAGUAGAGAAAAUCUUGGUGAGCAAGCAAAAAAAAGAAAAAAAAAUCACCAUUAUAAAAUAAAAUAAAUGAUUUAGAGACAUAAAAAUCUUUUUAAUCUCAUAAAUUUCUGAAUUUCGUCCAGAUGUAUUUUACUAGACCUGCUUGUAAUUCAUGAUGUAAAUUUGAAUCACGUAACUCGGAUCUAGCACGCACAUGACUUGCAAAUUCUGGUAACACCUCAAUUGAGAAUGGUUGUGGUGUACUAGAACCACUUGCCUCAGAUUGAUUAUAAUCGGACCAAUGUUGAGCAUAUGUCUCUCGUUCAUCAUUAACAAUCAUAUUAUGCAAUAUGCAAUGUUGAGCAUUAGGUGAACGAUCUAAAACAUUUAAUUAUAUCAUUCAAUGUGCCUGGACACCUAAAAAAGGCAUGCCAGAUCUUUUGAUCAUGAGAUGCAACUCCUUCAAAAAUAACAAUGGUGGUUCCCUUAUCUCCCUGAGUAAAUUGGUCUUCCCACGCUGUAUGAAAUUUUUUCUACUCCUAGUGCAUGCAAUCAAUACUCCCAAUCAUCCUUGAAAACCCCCACAACUCGCUAACACGCAGAAUUCUUUGCAGGUUGUCUUGAGGCGGAGCUCUAAGAUAAUCUUCUUCAAUUUUGUUGUGACACACUCUAAUCCAGUUGAUGAUAUACCUCACUUCAAUAUGAGAUUAUCUUUUAUAAGCUUCGAUAUUGAAAGGAAAUUCUGAUUGAUCCAUUGGAUUUUUUAUUUUAGUAAGAUGAUCUUUGUGAUAUUAAUUCAUUAAUAGAAGAAUGAGUUUUCAUUUAUAAAAAAUAGAGUGGUUGAAAGAGAAGGAUAAGAGAAGGAUUUGAUUAAAAGAUCAUGUGGUUGAAAUCCAAUACUCAACAAUUUUACCCCAGUAUGAUUCACUUUUUUGGUUUUUGCCAACAAUGAUGUAUGUUCCAUAAUACAUCCACUUAAUAACACUCAAAUUUUGCUCAAUUCUCCAUUUGAGGCUUUUCCGGCGAGUAGAAGUUGAUACAUCAUUAUUUGGAGUAUUUUCAUUAGCACUGGUCAUACUUCCAAGAGUCAUUUGUGUUGAAAAUCCAUGAAAUUCAGGAGGCAGUUAAGAUGAAUAUGUCAUCAUCGAUCCAUAAUAUGGAUGAUAUUUUGGAACAGAUGAUGACAUAGAAAAAUUUGGUGGUAAACUAUAAUUUGGGACAUUUUGAGAUUGGUUGAAAGAUGGACUUUGAAAUUGAUAAUUAUUGGGAUUUAAAUAGGGAAAAGGAUAAUUGGUAGAAUUUUGGAUAGAAUUAUUGUUGGAAUUUGGAUAGGAAAAUGGAAAAUUUAUAAUAUUUGUGAAGGAUUAUUUUAGAAUCUAUUUCACAAAAUAAAAUAAAAAAUAGAAGCAAGAGUUUAUUAGAGGAUAAUAAAGAUAUUAUGAUAGAAAUGGUGUUUUUUGUAUGUAUCUGAAUGAAAUGAAUCAAGUUUCCUUUUAUAGAGCUUAAAAAGUAAUAAAUAUCCAUAUAAAUGUUUUAAAUUUUUUUUUAUUAUCUAUAUAUUCAUUUACAUGGGAUUUUUGCGUUAAUUCCCUUAAACCCGGCUUUAAUUCAUUUGGGUUGGGUUUCGAUCCGGUUUUAUCGUAUUCAGAUCUUGAAUAGGAUAUUUGGGUCGAGAUUUCUUUUGUUCGGAUCGUGUUUAGGAAUAACAUGUGCAUCUUUAAUCGAGUUAAAUUCUUCUUUUAAUCCACGUAAUUAUUUCCUUAGAUUCUGUCCACCAUAUUCGGCUUACUACGACUUAUCCUUAUAUAUUUGCAAUCUUAACAAUUAUAUUGCUACCUACUGAAUCUACAUAUACAUUUUUACAGGAAUUUUAGCAAUUAAAUUCUCAAGUUAGAACUUAUUUACAAGGAAUACCAUUGACAUUAAUUAUUAUCAUUUAAUUAAUAUUCCUAAUUAUUAGCAUUUUCUUAUUUAAUAUAUUUCCAUCAAUUCUAAUUACUUUUAAAAAGGAGAAAUCUUAGGACUUUAUUAAUAUUAUACUUUAUUAAAGAUAAAUACUAUAGUUAUUUAAAGUUUAUAAAAUGUUUAAAAUAUUUAACGAAAAAACUUUUAGAAUAUAUAUAUUAUAUAAAAUCUAUAAAAUUAAAUAACCAUUUCAAAAUAAAACUUUUAAAUUGAUUUGAAUUAUAAAUUUUUUGAUAAAAAUAUUAUUAAAACAAACAAAAAAAUGUUUAAUUUUACGGAACUGGAUUAGAUGGUGGAACGGGUUUAGAAUAUUAUAAUGUAUGUAUUUUAUAACAAUUAAAUAACCAUUUGAAAGAAAAAAUUUGUAUUAAUUUGAAUUAUAUGUUUUUUAAAUUAAAAUAUUAUUAAAACAAAAAUAACAAAAACAAAAUGUUUAAUUUCAUUGCACGGGGUUAGAUGGUAGGACAUGUUUGGGUCGACAGUAAUACGAGACGGUAUACCACGAGUGAAAUCCAUUAGAUAUGUUUAGUUUCACUCAACGGGAUUAAAUGGUAGGACGUGUUUGGGUCGAUAGUAAAAAGAGUCGGUAUAUCACAGGUGAAAUCCUAGAUAUAACAAUCAAAAUACAAUUAUAUUAUCUUAAGAACUAAACAAAACAAAUAAUAUUAAUAAAAUAAAGAUAAUUAAAAUUUAAAUUAUUUAGUUAUAAUCUAGAUUUUAAAUUAAUGAACUGUACAUUAUUGUUCAUAUAUUUUUAAACAGUAAAAAUCAAACAUAUUAAUUGUAUAUUGAAUAAUAUACAUAUAUAAGAGUUGUACAUACAUAAAAUACAAAAUAUGAAAUCAUAUAUAUUCUUAAUCGACUAAAUAAAUUAAAUUUUUAUUCUUAAAAGAACAAAAUCGUCAUGCAAUACAUCGCGGGUUAAAAUCUAGUCUUUCUAUAUUCUCGUUAUACUCUGCAACUAAAUAUACUCCCUCCGUCCCACUAAGAUGAACUUUUAAAAAAUUUCACAUUCUUUAAGAAAUAUUGUAUAAAGAUAAUUUUAACCUCUUAAUAUACUUUAAAAAUAAUAAUAAAUAUUUAUCUAAUUAUUAGUAAGGGUAAAACGGGAAAACAGUUUUAAAAUUUGCAUUGGAAAUAUAAAACUUCUAUCUUUGUGGGACAAAUAUUUUUCCUAGAAAAUUUAUCUUUAUGGGACAGAGGGAGUAUUUUCUAUCAUUCUAAAAAGUUUAAACUAUCAGAAAUCUUUGUGCCACUUAUCAUAUUAGAAAGAAGUAGCCUGUCCAUUUCCCACUGCCACCUUACAAAGCUUGUCUAUCUCCCUUAUGCAUGCACGAGGUAGUCUACAAGCUGCAAGCCAAAAAUUGCAUAUGCUCCACAAAACCCAACUGAUCAGAUUUAAACGUCCAGCAAAAGAAAGAAAUCGGGACGUCCAAGAUUCAAUUUUCCUUGUAAUCUUUUAUAACAGGGGAAGACAGCCAGAUGCUGUGAAUCGCUUAGUGACCAGAGGGAGUCCGAGAUACCUCACUGGUAACUGACCAACUUCGAAAGGGAACCUUUGGGUUAUCUCAUGGUGGACUGAAUCUUAAAUUCCCGUCAGAUACAUUGUCGACUUUUCCUUGCUUAUUUUUAGUCGUGAUAAUUUUUGCAAAAUCGUUUAACACAUGAACUAUUCCUCCUAUUGAUAUGACCUUUCCAUCGGAUAGGAUCUUAAGGUUAUCAGCAAAGCUCAAGUGAGUUAAGCCAAGACUUCCACAUUUCAGAUGGUAACCAAAUUGUCUAGCACCUGAAGCUUUAUCCAACAUUUUAGAGAGAACAUCCAUACUAAUGACGAAUAAGUAUGGAGAGAGAGAGCAUCCCUGUCUUUAACCUCUUGCACUGUUGAAAAAAACAACUAAUUCCCCAUUAACUUGAACCGAGAAGGAAGACGUAGCUAUGCAGAGGGUAACCCAAUGAAUAAAGACUGAGGGAAAGUCCAUGGCUGUGAGAACUUUGGUGAGGAAGUCCCACUGUACCGAGUCAAACGCUUUUGAUAUAUCAAUUAUUAGAGCGCAACGGCUAGAAAUUGAGUCAUUAUGGUAGUCCUUGACUAAUUCUGUCGCCAACAACACAUUCUCUAUCAAUAGACGGUCCUUUACAAACGCUGACUGAUUUCCCGCUAUGAAUUGAGGAAGAACCAAUUUAAGCCGGUUUGCAAUUAUCUUGGAGAUAACUUUAUAUGUCACAUUGCAGCAUGAGAUAGGCCUAUAGUCUUUAAUCUCUUUCACAUUUUUCUCUUAGGAAUAAGUGCUAAUAUCGUGGAGUUGAUGCCUUUAGGUAAGAAGCCUUCAACAAAGAAAGACUGAAUCGCCAAUACAAACUCAUCUCUGGUGAUUUCCCAAGCUCCUUUAUAGAAUUCUGAGGUAAAUCCAUCUGGUCCCGGAGAUUUAUCAUUAGGCAUAGAGAACAAAGCCUUUUUAAUCUCAGCUGCAGUGACUUCAUUGGUAAGCAUCUCUUUUUCUAUUUCCAUACAACAAAAGGGUAGUAACUCUUGAAGCUCAGCCACUGAAAUACCUUCGAAAUCAUUAGGAACUAGCUGCAAAAAUUCUCUAAAGAACCGUUCAGCCUCUGUUGUGAUUUCCUCCUCUUGUGCCGUCACAGUCCCAUGUUGGCAUUGAAUCUCUCUAAUUGUGUUCCGUGCCUCCCGCGUUGUAACAGCUCUAUGAAAUGCUUUAUUGUUUCGAUCACCAAUCUUCAUCCAAUGUAAUUUUCAUUUCUGCUUCAAAUAUAUUUCUUCCAGAGCUGCGACCUUGUCCCAAGUGUCAUACGCCUCAUUUUCUUCUUGCAUUGAGCUUGUGGUGGGGUUAGACAAAUUGGCCUCCUGCUUCUGACACAAUUUCUCAUACGCAUCUUUUGUUAAAAAACACAUUUUGAUUUUCUUAUAAGAAGUUUAAACAUUAUAAAUACUAAAACUUUAUAUUACGGGUGAAAUCUUAGAAUUAACGAGUAUGAGUCAAUAUUAAUAUAGGAUGAUAUACCACCUGUGAGAUCCUAAAAUUAAUAAUUAAAAUACAAUUAUAAAAUCUUAAAACACUAAAUAAAGUAAACAUUAUUAACAAGACAAAUACAACUAAAAAUUUCAAAUAUUUAGUUAUAAAAUAUAGUCUAUCUUACAUUAAAACCAAACAAAACAAUAACAUAUAUCUACAGAAUUUGUUUUAACUAAAAUAUAUGCAUGCGGUGUAUCACGGGUUCAUAUCUAGUAUGCUACAUAAUAAUUGAUUGUAAAUAAAUAAGGUGAGAUAAAAAUCUCCAAAAUCUCAAUUGCCAAUAACAUUACAACAAGUGUGUCUCUCAAUAAUUUCUUUCUUUUUUGAACAAAUAAUAAUAGAAAACGCUUUACUUGCGAGCUAGGUGUGUGAAACAUCUUCCAAUCAUAUGGUGAUACGUGGCAUGGGCGAACCCAAAUAAAUUUUUUUCUAUAUGUUGAAUAGAUUCAACACCUAAAAAUCUAAUGCAAAUUUUUUUUCAACAGGUCCAAUGCAAGCAGUUUUAGUCACAUGCAGUUAAAGUAUUAAAUCCUUCUACUUAUAAAUAUUUUAUUCCUACUUAAUAGCAUGUAUGUAUUUUGGCAAAAAAAUGCUAAAUCGGAGAUGAAGUUAAAAUAUAUAUUGUGCGCUCUAAUAUCAAAUUAAGAAUUAUAUUUCGUCCAAGCUACUUAGUACGUACAUGUUGUAUUCACUAGUUGUCCUUCCUUUCUUCUUUUCCAUGGUCACAAUUUGGUUCAUUGUUUCUUCUAAGGGAUUGAGCAAUCACGGUUUUUCGGGAGAGUGUUUUUUGGGCAAUAUCUCUUUAUAUAUUUAAGAAUGCUAAAAUGUAGUAUUUUUGUUGGUUCUUGUUUCAUUGCCAACAUUGUACGAGGCGUGAUGAAGGCAGUGAAGAGAAUAAGGGUAGUUUCGUAGACAUAGUAGUUGAAGAGCUAAAGCUAAGAGAAGACGAAUAACACACAUACAUGUUGCUAAGAAAGGAGCGUCUUCGCAAGGGAGAAAUCCGAGGUGAUUCGAGCUAGGCAAAGAGGAUGGAAAGAUGUAAUUGUGUUUUCAAAUCAUAUAUAUGAAAGGAGGUGACCUAUCUCCAUAUGAAUGACAUGUUACACCAUAGAGAUGAUAUUUUCUGUAUUCUCUCAUCUUAUUCGGAAACCUAAAAAGGUAUGGUGAAAAAUAUAAGAAUAGAAGAAUGAGAAAAUGGAGGCUUCUUAAACUAAUUUUAAAUUGUAUUUGCUUAAUUUAGGACUUGAAAAUAUAUUCUGUAUAUUUUGAAGAUUAGUGAAAUUAAUGGGUAAUUUUCUCAGACAUGGAAAUCUUGUUUUAUUGUUUUUCCUUUAUGACUUUGCAAAUAUAGUAGGUUUCAGGAAUUUUUAUGAACUAUUUUAUCUUCAACUAGAAUUAAUACUCCAAGUACUUAUAUAUAUAUAUAUAUAUAUAUAUAUAUAUAUAUAUAUAUAUAUAUAUAUCAUAUUUAAAUUCAUAUUAAUUUGAAAGUGUUAAAAAUGCCCUUGAAGAUGACAAACAACUGAAACAAGACAUUUGAGCAAACAACUUGAGAUGCUAACAAAUGGUUUUAGUAGACAUCUAAACAAAUCCAAAUUCUAAUAAGAUUUAUUUUGUUAGUCAUGUACAUAUACCCUAUAACCCUAAUAUGGAAACCAAAUAAAUAGGUCACUAUGGAUUAUGUAUUUUGACCAAAAAAAAAAAAAGAAGAAGAUGAAUAAUGUAUUUUUCUGUCUCUACAUACAACGAAACAUAGUUAAAUGUUUAAAGUUCAAAAUCUACUAGAAUUUGGCUACUCAGAAUUAUAAAAGAGAUUCAAGACAUUUAUGUAGUACCUCUGUUGAAACAUUUUUUGAGAAUUUAUAGUGAAAAGUGUAGUCAUUUUGUGAUCUUUUCCAGCUUCCUAUAUUUCAUGCGUUUUAGCUAUAUACUAUCCUACUAUAUUAUUUGGGAAGUACAUUUUAAAAUUUAACCUUAAUUUUUAUAACUAAUUACAUGACAAUGCCAUUAAAAAAAUCUAAUCAAAGACAAAAUUGUUUCAAAUCAUUAAGGUUAGUAAAAUCAUUUAACGAUAAUAUCCAUCUACUAAUCACACAAGUUAAUGGAUAUAUAAACGGGUUAAAUAUUUUUCUGCCAUUUAUUAAAAAUUUUCGUCAAUUCAUAUUUGUAAGAUUUUUUAAACAAUAAGAUCUUUUUGUUACCAGGUGGAGAAUAAGUUGGAACACACUUAUAUAGUUUCCUUUGAAAAUCAACAAAAUCUUAGCCACUAUAUCGAUUCCUAUCACCAUAUCUCGCUGUUAUAAUAUUUCUCAUCACUAUAUUCCGGUUAACAAGUAAUAUUCCUUGAGCUACAAUUUUUUUAAAUAAUCUUCUUUCUAUCAAAUAAUCUAUCUUAAACAAUUAACUACUAACUGAUUUAAUUAGAUCUUCAAUCUAUUGAAUUCACCCAUCAGUAUUAUAAAUAAGCAGAUAACCAUCAUGAUGUCUGUACCUUCUCACAUACACACCUAUCAAAAACUUAAAACCUUUCAAAACCUCUUGGUAUAUUCAUAUUAGGAUUCUUCAUUCAUGGAAUCAUUAUUCCAAGGGUUUUGGGAUGUCUUAUGAAAUAAUUUUGGCAGAAGAGUAUGUAAAAUUUUUUGAAUAAAAAGUAGUCAGCAAAACUUUUCUUUUUUUGGACUUUUUAGAUAAUUAAUUUAGAGAAUAGGGUUGGGCAUAUGAUUAACCCAUUCGAGUUCGGGUAGAACCCGUUCGAGUUUGGGAUUAAUGGGUAUUGGAUUUACUACUUAAUACGGUAAUUCUAAAUAUUCGGUUCGGUCGGGUCCAGUCGGUUUUCAGUCAGUUUGGAUAAAAAGUUUCAGGCCAUAAAAAUACCCAAAAAAAUAGAAACGGGUAUUUUGUAUGUAGAUAGCGGAUCCCCAAACAAAAAAAACUUUUAAAUUUGUUAAGUUUUAAGAAAUUUAGUUAUAUUUGAAUAUAUUUUACUAAAUUUUGACAAACAUAACAAAUGAUUUUUGAAUAGUUUAGUUGUUUUGGAUAUUUAGGUCCAACAUUAAUUGACAUAUUUAAAUUUUUUUUUUUUUUUGUCAACCGAUAUAAAUUAAAACUCAAAAGAGCCAAUCCCGAGGGAUAUUGUUUACAUACGUGACAUGAUGCGGUACGGUACGAAUCUUUCGUGCCAACUUAUCCGCUUUUACAUUUGCACUACGAGAAAUUAAAGAUAAAGAGAAAUUUGUGAAUUCUUCCCUAUCACUCUGCAACUCCUCCAAAUACACUGAAAACGCCGGCCAUUCGGUUGGAGAAGACACCAUCUUCACCAAGUCUGAACAGUCUGUAAAGAAAGCUACGUUCUGGUUAUCUGCUCCAAUCAUGCACUUCAUCGCCCAAAGAAGAGCUUCCAUUUCGGUAUGUAGAGGAGAUAGACUUCUACGAACGUUGGCGGCUCCCAUGGUUGGCGACUCUCCAAGAGAUGAUAGACAGAACGUUGGAGACAUAUUUAGAUUUAUAAUUAUAAUCUUAGAUAAUUAGAUUAUAUUAAGAUUAAAUAUAUUAAUAUUUUGGAUAUUAAAUAAAUGUUUGGGUUUUCGAAUACCUUUUUGGGUAACGGGUAAUCUCCGGACCAAUCGGAUACCCACGGGUUUACUAAAACUCUAUCCAAUAAGGAAAAUUUAUUAAAAUUCUAACCUGCCCUAACCCGAUUUUUUGGUUCGGGUAUUGGGUUGGUUAUCUGGUCUGUUUUUUUGUCAGCCCUAUUAAAGAUAAUCUAAUAUAGGGCCCAAUUAGGCCACAAAUAUAACCAAAAUACUAUACAAAUACUAAUUCUAAGUUAGGCCAAAAAUUAGAUCCUCUAUUACAAACGAAACAUGUUUCUUACCAAAACAACUUGUAUACAAAUUUUACACAUUUACUUAAAACUACAUAUGUUGUAUUUAUUAUAAAAAUGACAUUUUUAAACAAAGUUAAUCCAAUGCAGCAUUAUAUCCAAAUAGCAAAAAACAUUGAAAAAUAUUAUGGCAUCACUUUUACACUAUACUAUUUUUUAUGUAAUUCAAACAAAGUAUACAAUUUAGUUUAUACAAAAUAUUAAUGCCUGUGCUAUAUAGCACGGGUUAUGAUCUAGUCUACUUAACAUUUUUGAAGUACAAAAUAAAGAAUUUUUCGGGUCGGUUUUUUUUUUUUGUUUUACCCGGUUUUUUUGACCCACAUCCUAUUAUUUUAAAUGCUAAUCAAAUCUUACCAAAAUUAAUCGCUUUAAAUACGAUUUAGUUACAAUUAAUUAUUUCCGUUCAGCAAAGUAAAUCCGACUUAUAUGGAAUGAAUAUAUUAACAUUGCAAAACAAAUCCGACUUAGGUAACUUAGUAUUUAUCCGUUCAGCAAAGUAAUUACUCGAGUAAAUAUUCUAUUAACUACGAAAUCUUCAAGUUAAACGAAAUCAAAAUCUGCAUUCCACUACAUAAUUUUCGGAGAUCUUAAGAACUAAAUUAAAGCAUAUUCCUAAGCAUAAUUUAAAAAAUCUCGCUACACAAUUUCCUAAUAUCGCAAUAGUCAAAUCAUGGGCGAAGAUUGUGAUUAUCAUAUGUUCUCUAUAUAAAUAAGGAAUUUGAAUUGAAUUUCUAUGCUAAGCCAUUUGCCAUAAAAAUCUCAACAAAAUAUUGAAUUCAUUAUCUCUACAAUCUCGACAAUAGAAACUAUAUGAUUGUAUUAAAAAACGGAUUUGGUGCAUAUUCCUUGAAUAUUCGAUUAAGAAGAUUUGAUUUAAUUUAGUUAAGGUGCAAAUAAUUUGUUAUGGCCCCAAACCUAAUCAGAACUCGCCUAUAUAUAUUCUCUAGCUUUACCUCUCAUCACAUUAUCAAACACACAAAGCUCAUCACAUAUCUUUGGAUUUUGAGACAGAAAAUAAAAAAUAUGAUUCAGGUUGAGAGAGUUACUGAAUUCAUCACGGAACCACAGAAGCGAUGCAGUGGUUCAUCGGAGAAGCCUGAAACGGCUUCAAAAGUUUCUAGAGAAUAUCAGAAGAUCCCAAUCUCUAAUCUUCAUAGUGAAGAUUAAAUAGAGAGAGAGAGAAAGAGAGAUUAGAUGUACAUCACGUAAGAUUGGCGACAAAGGAAUCGCUAAGGGGUCGAGUGGUUUAAUCGGAAAUCGUAUUCGAUAAUAUCAAUGAAGCAAAAUGAAAGUAGCACACAUAGGUUUGUAUGGUGAGACUUGAGAGCAUCUUCGACCAUCAGAGAGGGACAACUUCAUGAGAAUCGAUGGAAAAAAAAAUUAGCUUCGAGGAAGAAGCAAUGGUUUGACGAAAAACUAGAUGGUCACAAAUGAUUGGUAGGCAUCAUGUUCAAAAGCUUAGCUUGCUCGAGAAGUCACCGACGAACGUGGAGUUGGCCGGAGUUUCUGUCAUCAAAACCGCGUUCAGUUUUGCAUUGCAGAAAUCAAAGAAGAUGCUUCGUUAUUAUCGAUGGGGAAGAAGCAUAAAAAAAAGUCUUCCUCUGAUGUUAAAACUAGGCCAAGUAUUUGUCAUGCCCAUAGAACUUGCAACAGAAAGCAACGUUAGUCUUUGGAUAGAAAACAAUUACGGUAUUUUUUUAUGUGGUUUAUACAUUACACUAAUUAUGUUAAAUAUUUUUCAAUAGUAUUAACGAGAAGCACAAUCUAUAUAUAUAUAUUUUUGGAGAAACUUUGGGUCAAAUCCUUUUAUAAUUUCUUAUUUAUACAUUUAGUCCUUAUAAAAUAAUCUGAUAAAAAUAUUGUCUUAAGCAAUUUUGACAAAUAAAAUUUAAGUAAAUAACAUUAAUUAGUUAUAGAUGAUUUACGGCAAUAUUUCCUAAGAAAUAAAAAAUUUGCGACAUUAAUGCUAUUAGAAAAGAACUAAAUAAAAAUCUUCAAUGGUAUAUUUCAUUAUUAAUUCGCUUUAUUCCUAAAAAUAUUUAAACAAAAUUUAGUCAUUGAUUUGCAAAUACAGAAAUUGUAUAUGUAGUUAUAACAAACAAAUAUUUUCAAAUCAAAUGAUUUUCUAUUUAAAUGCUAGAAAAAACAUAAUAAGUUUUUAAUGUCAUAUCUAAGAAAAUCAAUAAAUUGAUAUAUUAUUUUAACAAAUCAAUAUCUAAUGCUAACAAUAAAUUAAUUUGAUACACGUUUUUAAUUUAAUGCUAAUAAAAAAAUAAUUUGUUCUAACGCUUCCUAUUUAAAUGCUAGAAAAACGUAAUAAUUUUUUUAAUGUCAUAUCUAAAAUAAACAAUAAAUUGAUAUAUUGUUAUAACAAAUAAAUAUUCAAUGCUAACAAUAAAUUAAUUUGAUACACGUUUUUAAUUUAAUGCUAAUGAAAAUUAAUUUGUUCUAACGUUUUUAAUUAUGGCAUUAAAGAUUUAUUGUCAAAAAUAAAAUUAAAGUACUUGAUAGUUUGUAUAUAUAUUAAAUUACUUAAAAGUUAAAAUUAAUGUAUAUAUAAAUAUAAUAACAAUUAAAGUACAUAAACAAACAAUCUUUAGUUGUUAUAUACUAUUAGUAAAAAGAAAAAUGACAAAAUGAUUUUUAUUUUAACAGACGGGGUUAUAUGGUAAUACGGAUUUUAGUCGAUAUUAAUAAGAGACGAUAUAGCACGGGUGAAAUCCUAAAAUUGAUAGUCAAAAUAUAAUAAUAAAAUCUUAAAAAAGAAAACAGACAAUUAUUUAAUUAUAUAAUUAUACCGGACAAGGUUAUAUAGUAUGACAGCUUUUGGUCGAUAUUAAUACGAGAUGGUAUACAACGGGUGAAACCGAAGAAUUAACAAUCAAAGUACACUUAUACAAUCUUAAGAAUCAAUUGCCGGACAAUAAACAAUAUUAGUAAAACAAAUACAAAUAAAAUUUAGUUAUAAAUUAACCCGCGGACUGGAGCACACCGCGGGUCAUAUCCUAAACAAUAAUUUCUUUAGGAUAACUACAAUUCCAUAUAAAAAACUAAAUUUAAAACAAUUUUUUUAUAAUAAUGUUAUUUUAAACAAAACAAAAAACAAUAUAACAAAAAUGUAAUAAUGCACCAUAAAAUACACACUCUAUAUAAUGAUGCGUAUAAUAAAUAUGUUUUCUUAAAUAAAUAAAAUUAAAUCAAACACAUACUAAUAUAACAUCAAAAAUGAAUAGAUAUAAAAGGUAAGGUGAUAAAUUAAAAAUAUAACUUGAUUAUUUAGAUAAAAACGAUAUCGAAUUAAAAAAAUAAUUUAAUUUCUAACACAAAUAAUCAACUCGCGGUACACCGCGGGUCAAUAUAUAGUUAAAUUAAGGUUAGAAACUUAGAAUUAAGAGAUUUAUAAUUAUAACCGGUGCCGUGGUCAUGGACUCAUGCGUAUAUAUCGGUAUUUUAAAGACAAAAAUAACGAAAACGGCACGCAGUUUAUCCCUCAACACCCGAGACAACACUUCUCGUAGUCCGUGCUUAAAUUCGCCACGUAGUUCACUUUAUUCAACUUAAAAAAGCAUGACGUUUUGGUGCAUCUAUCUUCUUCUUCCCCCUUCCUCUCUUAGCUUCUCUCCCACCACUAAGGAGAAACGUUCCAAAGAUCCCUCUCUCAGAAAAAUCUCCAAGAAAACGAAACCCUAAUGGAGAAUCAUUCUGAUCCCUGAAACUUUUGGCUUGCGGCUGAAUCGAUUUCAAGAUUGCAAGUAUUGCCUAGUGUGAAUAUGCUGUUGCUGUGUGAUGCUUUGGUUAAGGAAGUGACUGUUGAAUGCUGAAAGGACGACUUGGAACCUUAUCUCGGGUUGCAUUACUCGGCAAACUUCGAUAUUUCUUUAUAUGAGAAACAAGGUUACGAUGAUUUCAAGAACUGUGCUAAUCUUUGCCCAAGAUUUACAUGUAAAUGGUACUGAUUGAGUGUUAAAAGGAAGAAGCUUCAUACAUACAAUAUACAUUGAUCGGAUAUAGUUUUAGAGUAGGUUCCGAGUUCCAAAACAAAGUGAACUAUACUGAGUAUUUCAACAUAGAAAAGUUAUAAAAUUGACAUCCUUUGCAAAGUAAAAGCCAUAUCAUAACAAAAAAAUCGGAACAUUUAACCGAAAACAGAGACAACCCACAAAAGAAGAAGAAGAAUGCUAAAAUUGAGAAGCACUGAUGGAGUUGGUCGAAGGGGACCAAACGGAAGGGAAUAUAUCUUCUAUAGACUGCUUACGAGUUAUGAAUUGAGUUGCGUCAACGUGUGAUUCUGAUCCGGCUGAAGGAAAGGCCGCUUCAUGUGAAUACGCACAUGGUUCCUUGUACGCCUCUCUUUCCGAAACGUUGGCUGCAACUUCGUAUGAUUGUAUUUGUAGCGGGCCUAGCGGCAUUAGUUUCAGAUGGCUGAUGAUUUUCUUGAAAUUUUUUGGUGGAAGCGAAUUAGAGAUAACAUACUUCGGAGGAUAUGCAUUUUAAUAACAUAUUUAUAAGUUUUGAGUAUCGCAUAUUACGAAAACGAAAGCAUUUGAAAGAUUCGAGAUUUCACUAUCGAAAGUGGGGGAAGACACGC
Molecule: long non-coding RNA, 62704 nt
Filed under: Arabidopsis thaliana (thale cress)
Lineage: Eukaryota; Viridiplantae; Streptophyta; Magnoliopsida; Brassicales; Brassicaceae
Description: long non-coding RNA (ATHA_LNC000431)
Source: RNAcentral